Molecule: long non-coding RNA, 65611 nt
Filed under: Vitis vinifera (wine grape)
Lineage: Eukaryota; Viridiplantae; Streptophyta; Magnoliopsida; Vitales; Vitaceae
Description: long non-coding RNA (VVIN_LNC002611)
Source: RNAcentral
GGUAUGGAGGUAGGGGUCCACACGUAGCGGGCGGACAAAUCUCCGACCGUCUCUGACACGAGGAUGCGGCUCAUCCGUUAACACGUGGGGAAUCGACCAUGUGAAUGCACCCAAUUGACGGUGCCUUCAUUUAUUUAUUUAUUUUGCAAUUGUCCAUCGUAUUUCUAUAUUCUCCAUUGUUUUGUCCUUAAAGAAAAUGUCUAUUCAUCUUUAAGAUCACUGCUUUACUGCUUUUAGACUUGUAUUAAAAUUAAACUGUAGUCCAGAAUACUUUGGACAUGUUGUAUUCUUAUUAAGUCCACUUUUACCAAGAACCGUGAUAUGGCCGCCAACCUCUUUUCCAAAUGACAAACCUGUCCCUCAUUCCAUCGUUGACCCAUUAUUCUUGUGUCCUAAUUUUGACCAAUAUGGUUCAUGCAUGCCCCUCUCUCUUCGCUUUUUUAUUUUUUAUUUAUUUAUUCUCUUUCCCCAUUAUUAAUUCUUUGAAAGUUGCUAGUUUUAUUUUCAUAAUUUUUAUAUUUAAUAUGGAUUUUUCCUAUGAGUGAACCAUUUUCUCAGUGUUUUUUCCACAUACUUUUAUCAACUGAUGAGACUCUCAAUGGACGGGCAUCCACAUUCAAUGUUUCUCAAAGCUAAUUAUUAUAAAAGCAUAUUCUUUACCACACGAAUGUGACCAAAAAAAAAAAAGGGUUGAUUUCAUUUUUGUCUAUUGCCACGAUGGUAACCUGAAAUUCCUGGAUGGAGACACAAAAUAUUUUAGGCCACCGUCACUUCCUAACAAAACAUGCAUAUCUUAAUAGUUGCGGGCAGUGAAUCAUCAAAAUUACCCCUUAUCCAGGAGCUCAAAACACGGAUAGAGCAGGGGUAAGAUCGUCUUCAAAGCCCCUCCAAACAUUAACUUGUCUUAAAAUUUCAAAGAUUCCAAGUAUUUAUAAUUAGUGUUGUGGUCUUGUUGUCGAGGGCAACUUACAAGAGAAUCACUGAAAUUUAAGCCAUAAAAAAUGUACUGAAAGUCAUGAUCAUGUUUCCCUGCAAUUUGACAUGAAAUAUCACGAUGAAUAUCUGUUGCAUUUUUUUUUUCUUUUUUGGCUUUCUGAACUUGAGAAAUCUGAAGAUGCUCUAAAAAUUUGAAGACAAUUAGAAGACAUGAAUUGAGUAGAGUGGGUUGCUUUACUGGGGAAGGAACUCAUGUUCCCUGAAUGAGCGUCAAGGCUUUUUAACUAACAUUUCAACGUGAAAAGAAAAACAGUGUGUUUUUAUUUAGUUGAUAGGUUGAUGUGAACAUGAUAUUCAUCGAAUUACUUAAUCCGAAGUUCCUUACCAAGUGAUGAACUCGGUUGGUAAUAUGCAUGGCCAAUUUCUGAUGUAGUUAUUCUUUUAGAUUAUGACUCAGAACGGGGCAGAGUGGAACAUUGUAGGGGGAGCAAAGAGCCAAACCGAGAAUCCUCAAGCUGCAGAGAGAUAUGGAUGGGGUUGAUCAUCAAUUACCAUUGGGAAAAUUCACCCCCAAUUAUUAUGCGUGAGUCUGCCAAAAAAAAAUGAGGUGCAUUUAUUGAUUUUUGUCUGUUGUUUUGUCAUCCCAGAAAGGUUAAGACAUUGGAGGGUCCCAUGGUAUUAGGGGAGCCAUGUUGACCACCAUGGAUUUCGUGGAAUCACUUGGAAGCUGUGACAGAAGGCAAGGUGGUUUGCGACCUUGGGUUGUGUGUUUUACGGGCCUUAUGCUGCCUUCCCUCUUUUUAUUUUCUUACACAGCAUAAUGGACUCAUGGUUCUACCCUCUGUCUCAGGGCACUGUUUUAUUCUGCCACUGCGAUUUCACACUCGAAAGCAAAACUUACAUGAUGAUGAUGAUGAAUGACAGUGCUAUCAUUGGGGCUACCAUCUCCUUUUCAUCAUGAGCUUCGUUCAAUUGUUAUUCCCCACAUGUUCAUGAAAAUUUGAGCUUAAUUGGGUCCCCUGAACUCACAUUCUAUGACACAUUUCAUCAUGUAUUAGUUAAUUUUUUAUCAAUCACCUCACAUGAUUUCCCAUUCCAAGUGCCAAAAAUAGAAAAAGCAUUUGAAUUAACAAGUUUUUGAACUCGUAGGCACAGUUGCGAGCAUGCCAUAUCUCAGACUAAAUCUUUAAGUUUGAAUUUUAAGUGUUUCACCAUUUUUAGGAAUUUGGCAAAGCAAUUAUCACUUGCACCCUCACAUUUAUGUCCAAGCAAUAAAAUUAGUCUCACUUUAAUAUUUGUUUAUAUUGCCUCUAGUGAUAGACUCAUCUAGAAUUAACUUAGCACUGAAUUAAAUAGAAGAGGAAUCAAGUUAAAGCGAAACUUCUACCUAACACUCGUUGAACUUUCGGCGAAAAGAUUAGACAUUAGUGUUCUAACAUGCUAGCUGUGAUUGAAUUGGCCAUGAAGGAAUCCGAUAUAUCUGACUUAUUAUUGGCUCAAGUGUAGUCCUCAAUCCCCCACUUACUCGUAAAUGCAUUAGUGGAAGGAUUAAGUUUAUAUUAAGACAACAAUUUAAAUCCAGGUGGCCAAAGAUUCUUGAUCAUCCAUCAAUGAUGGAAAGGAAAGACGCAAGCUGGUUCGAUUUAACUAAUUAAGUAAUGAUGUUAUGUGCAUGGACAUGCCCGACAUAUGGAAGUGAAUGGAGAUUAUUUAAAAAGAUGUACAAAACAAUAGGAAGUGAACGUGGAUAUAAUAAUAGGGCAAGGGACAAACUUCUGUAUUACCUGGGCAAGUGGGUAUUUGUUGCUUUCUCAGGUUGAUCAUCCUUGUAAACAUUUCCGCAUGCGCUUUGUUACUUAUUUUCCGAUGAUAUUGUCUUUUUUAUCACACUGUUCCCUUGGUAAUUAAUUUUUAUUUUUAAUUCAAAAUGUGCAUGUUAAAUUUGGCUAAUUCAGUAACUUUUAACUGAGACAAGAUUACGGGUAUACUGUCAUUUUGUUCACAUGAUUUAAGUUCAUUUUUGGGGCACCUAGCAUACUAGACAACCCACAAGGUAGCUGGGCAGUCAAGGCCGUAGCUCAAGGACGUAUUGCAAGUUGCAGGGAGUUGGGUGGUUCCUCUAGUCUAUAGGUAAGGAGAAGAGAAUCUUGCGUACAUCCCACAUUUUGUAAUCAAUUAUUGUUAUGAAUACGUCUACAAUAUUUCCCACUUCAGCUGGUAACUCUACAGCGGAUAUCCCACUAGCAAAUUGAGCAAUUAUGUCGGUAAUCAUAUCGACCUGAAUUCUCAUGGAAAGUGCUUUAUAUUAAAGGGAAAAUGGAAAAAGGUUAUUUGUCUUCACCUUCACGCUCCUUUUCCUUUUUCCUUUUUCAAGUGGAUCAACAGCUUGAUAAUUGGGCAUUCUUAAUCACUCUUUGGGUAUCUUACAUUUGGUUUCAGAGUCCUACCAUUACUAAUUUUACUAUAGGCAGCACCUGAGGAUCCCUAAUGAAGUAAAAAAAGGAAGAGGGAGCGAAAUAGGGAUGCAGCGGGAGUAUUCGAGAAGAUAAGGAGCUAUUUCUAGGCAAUAUCCUGUUGCAGUUAUAGUGCCGUCAUGUUGUGUCAAAUCGAAGAUUAUUCCACCACUGCCCGGUUUGGAAGUCCGAUCAACCUUGGAAUUAAUCAUCUUAUAAAAGCGGAAAAUUCUAGGGUACCUCUUCGGUACCUACCCAAAAAGCUUUUCAAGCCAUUGGAUGUCCAAGAUUACAUCUUGGCCAUCCAUUUUCAAUUUAAAAUAAAAACUCCACUUAACCGGUUAAGGGAAGAACCGGUUGUGGCAUUCUUUCUUCCUCCAUUCUCAACAAUUUUGGGUUUAAAUAAAAUAAAUAUUAGAUAAAAAUAGAAUUGGAAAAAAAUAAAAAAUAAAAUGAUAUAAAAUUUGAAAACAUAUUUAUUAACAAAAAAAAUCAUCAUAUAUCAUAAUUACAUUAUUUUAUUUUUUAAAAAUUAUUAAACAUUUAAAUUCAACAUAAAAAUGAAUAUGGUAAUAUUUUAAUAUGAAAUGAGUAUUUUAAUAAAAAUUCAACAUUUUGGUAAUCAUAUGUAAAGUUUAGGUAAUUAGAUCGUCCUAAUUUUUUUCUACUCUCCAAAUUUUACAUUUUUUGAAUUUAAGGUUUUUAAAGUUAAAUUACAAUAAAAUAAAUUACUAAUACUAUUUUAAGUUACUAAUGAUAGUAUUUUCGAAAAUAAAUUUGUAAUUUCAAAAAUUUUAAAACUAAAAAUCAAUAUGAAAAAUGUGAUAAAAGUACCAAACAUGUAUUUAUCACAUUUUUCAUACCGUUCUCAUAUUUUUCGUACCCUAAAUUAUUUAUAUUUUUAAAAUUUUAGAUUUACUUUUUAACUUGAAAUAACAAUAACAUAGUUUAAUAAUAUUAUUUUGAGUUAUUAUUGAUAGAAUUGUUAAAAAAAAAAAUUAAGCAUUAAAAAAAAAUUUAAUUGGAAAUAAUGUAAAUUAUCCUAAAAAAUUUAAAAAUUAAAACACUAAAAAAUUAGAGAGGAUAUGAAAAAUGGAGAAUUACCCUUAAGGGUAGGCUUGAGAAAAAUAUAACUGAUGAGGGUGGGUAAAUUUGAUAAUUAUUGUGAAGGGUAGGGUAAAAUUAUGAUAAUUCCUCCAAAGACCUUAUUUUGUUUAAAUACCAAGAUUACCCUUAAUAAGUGAAAAGCAACAGCAAAGUGAAAAAUAACAGGAAAGAAAAAAGAGUUUUUUUCUUUAACCUACCUGCAACUUGUCGAUGUUGUAGAAGAAAAAAAGGAAAGGAAAAAGGUCCAGCACUUUAGGUCAUUAUCUGCAACCGUUUACACAAAGCUUGUUUUUUUUUGUGAAUCUAGCAAGAAAUCCAUUAAAGGUAAGUUUUUUUUUUUUAAAAUACCAAAAAAAAAUGUCAGUUUAUGGAAAUAAAUAAAUAAAUAAUUUAAAAAUCGGAUUGAAUGAAUGAAAAGUUAAUAAUUUUAACAAUGUAGUUGUAAAAUAUUAGAUCUAAAAUAUUGAAGAAGGUUUUGAGAAAGAAAUUACAUUUUUUUUUUGUGUAAAAUGUUAUUUAAAUUUAUUAUUUUGAAUUUUUUUUAUAUUAUUUUGGUCAUAUUGAAGAUGUGUUUUUAUUUUUAAUUUAUUUUUCGAGUGGGUUGUUUGAUAUGAUUAUUAUUGAUUUCCAUUGAAAAGGUUUGCACUUUAGUUUUGUUGUUAAGACUUUUUGACAUGAUUGAAGAAAAAAUGUUCUCAGUUGUUUUAUGCUUGUUUGGGACCACUUUGUUUGUGUAUUUAUGAACAAUAUUUGGAUUUUCAUUGAAAACUGAAAUCCUCUUUGUACGAGACCACUUUGUCUUUUAUUAUGAAUUUGUUAAAGAGUUAAGAUCACGAUAUUUUCGUUAUGAAUUUGUUACCUUUUUGUAUAAGUAUUAUUUUGGUAUGAUGAGUUAAAUGUCUAGUAGUUUGAAGGUUGUGUAAAAGAACCAUUACUUCAGUUAUAAAGUAUAAGUACAAUACAAAUGCAAUAUAAUUACUUUAGUUGAAUGUCUAGUACCCUCUCUUAGAAAGUUCGUACCCACUCUUAGAAAGUUCGUACCCUCUCUUAGAAAGUUCGUACCCUCUCUUAGAAAGUUCGUACUAUCUCUUAGAAAGUUCAUACCCUCUCUUAGAAAGUUCGUACCCUCUCUUAGAAAGUUCAUACCCUCUCUUAGAAAGUUCGUACCCACUCUUAGAAAGUUCUCUUAGAAAAUUCGUACCCUCCCUUAGAAAGUUCGUACCCACCUUUAGAAAGUUCGUACCCUCUCUUAGAAAGUUCGUACCCUCUCUUAGAAAGUUCGUACCCUCUCUUAGAAAGUUCGUACCCACUCUUAGAAAGUUCGUACCCUCCCUUAAAAAGUUCGUACCCUCCAUUAGAAAGUUCGCACCCACUCUUAGAAAAUUCGUAUCCUCUCUUAGAAAGUUCAUACUCUCUCUUAGAAAGUUCGUACCCACUCUUAGAAAGUUCGUACCCUCUCUUAGAAAGUUCAUACCCACUCUUAGAAAGUUCUCUUAGAAAGUUCGUACCCUCCCUUAGAAAGUUCGUACCCACCUUUAGAAAGUUCGUACCCUCUCUUAGAAAGUUCGUACCAUCUCUUAGAAAGUUCGUACCCUCUCUUAGAAAGUUCGUACCCACGCUUAGAAAGUUCGUACCCACGCUUAGAAAGUUCGUACCCUCCCUUAGAAAGUUCGUACCCUCCCUUAGAAAGUUCGUACCAUCCCUUAGAAAGUUCGUACCCUCCCUUAGAAAGUUCGUACCCUCCCUUAGAAAGCUCGUACCAGAUCUUAGAAAGCUCGUACCCACUCUUAGAAAGCUUGUACCCACUCUUAGAAAGUUCGUACCCUCCUUUAGAAAGUUCGUACCCUCCCUUAGAAAGUUCGUACCCUCCCUUAGAAAGUUCGUACCCUCCCUUAGAAAGUUCGUACCCUCCCUUAGAAAGUUCGUAUUUAAAUGUCAUUACAUAUUUAAAUGUCAUUUAACAUGACAUUUCUACCUACAAUAGUUAUAUGUAAAUGGAAAAAAAAAAUCAAAUGUUACCUUUUAACACUAGUAAUCACUUGACAUCCUUCAAGACAUAUAAAGCUUCAUCUUCAAAUUUAAUCUAUGAACAAAAAAAAAAAAUUAUAUAAAAAUAUUAAUAACAAUUUGAUAACAAAAUUUUAUAAUAAACUCAUAAAAAAUUCUAAAAUCGUUAUUUAACACCACAUUUCUUCCUACAACAAUUAUAUUUGGAUAAAAAAAUAUCAAAUAUUACCUUUGACACUUGUAAUCACUUGAAAUCCUUCAUCUUCUUCAUAUAAUACAAAUUUUAAAUUUUCUCUCUCAAAAAGUUUUGAACUUGAUCUUGAAAUUUGAUUCAUCAAAAUACAUCUUACAUAUUUUGUAAUUUGGUAGUUGAAAUUAUUUAAUUUUCAUAUUAAAUUACUAUCCUUUUUUUUAUAUAUGAAUAAUGAGAGUAUAAGAGUAGUAAGUAAGAUUUUCUUUUUUUAGAUAGAGUUAGGUAAUGCAUUAAAUAACAAAUUAUAUUUGAUAUUUAAUAAUAAAUUAUAAAAAAUUGUAAUAUUUAGAUAUAUAUGAAAUGCAUGUGAUUAUUUCUCACCAACAAGUCAUCUUUACCGGUUUGAUAAGUUUUUAUAAAUUUUUUAGUGAUAUGUACUUUACACAUGUCAUAUUUUUAUUGGGGUCAAAUGUGAGUAGGUACCUCCAAAAUGAAGAGUGGGUACCAUAGAACAACCCUAUAAAAGCAAUAAAUACUCCGUCACAGUUAUUGUACAAUAAUCCAAUCGUCAAACUUCAGACAUUAAGUCCUAUAUUAAAUUAAGAUAUUUUAAGCUUUUUUUCUUUUAUGGCUUUUUGGAUUUUUACAUUUAAGUCAAAUUAAAAUAAAUGGAAUUGGGUUCAAAAUCUGUCUUAUGAAAAUUUUAAAAUUCUUUUUUAUUUUACUUGUAUUAAGUAUUGAUAUUUGUAAAAAUUUCAAAAUUUAAUUUAUUUUGAAAAGUGAAUUAUCAAUUUAAUUAACAUGUGAUAUAUCAUAUUAUUUUUAAAUUUGAAAGAUCCAGUUCCAGUCUUCUAGAGCUUAACACAACGAUGGUUACUGUUAUUUUGCCCCCACACUAUAGGGUGGAGAGACAGAUCGAGAAAAGGAAAGGAAAUUAAAAAAAUAAAAAUAAAAUAAAGGAAAAAAAAAAAAAAAUUCAAACAUUCCGAAAGGUGAAUUGAUUCAGUUAAAAGUGGACAGGCUGUGAAAUCAGGAGAUGGCAGGUCACCCUCACUCUUUUCAAGUGGAACUGACUAACAACUAUGAAAACCAAUUUAAUAUGAAAAAACAUGUGUAUAUUUAAAUUAAAGGCGUUUACUGAGGCAGACUGGACAGGUGAAAGCGUACGACUGGACGGACGCUCCCACACGUAUGUCUAGUGCUAGUGCCCCAAUGGGUGUAAGUAUUCAACAUCAACGGCUCAGGACCACCGUCGAAGAUCCCAUCAGGAUCCGAUUUUACGUCUGUCCCACUCUGUAACUCGUCGGCACGCGGGGCUUACCCCUUUUUGUCCUUUUCCCCCUCCGUUUCGGCUCCAGUGCCGCCGAGACGCUCACCACUCCCUAUACUCUCCUCCUCGUUUUCUCUUCAUUUUGUCGCGAUAUUUUAAUCAUAUAUUUCUACGAUCUGCCAUACGUCAACGCCUCAUUUUUACUAGCAACGCCCUCAGGUGUAAUAAGUCACUCCCUUGACUACCUUUAGGACAGCUGGCGAAAAUAAGGCAUUGGAAGAAGACGACAUUAAAAAAGUUACGUGUCGAGCUAGACUACAGCCACGUUUUUGCCCUUUUCUUUUUCUUGGUUUAACGCAAGAGGUUAAAAAUACGGCGGAGUUAGUUAUUAUUGACGGGGAAAGUGUUUUGUUUGUUUAAGAAACUGCAAUGGAGAACACCGGAUUGUUAAGGUAGCUUUAGUCAUUUCAUCAUUAAUUAUAGAUAAUCGGUAAUGGCUUCGUACGUAGGGGAAUCAUAUUUAUGGGAAAUGCAAACCGGUACCAUACCUAUUUAUUAUGAAAUAAUCUAGAAACCCAUUUUUGGAAUAAAAAAUAAUCACAUAGAGAAAAUAAUUUUUAAAAAAUACGCUGUGUCUUUAUAAAAAAGGAAAAAAAAAUCUCAGCCAUACCUGUCUAUUUUAGUGGGGUUGUUUGGGCAGAGAGAAAUGAAAUCCGGAGUACGCGUAGCUUAGCACAUUGUUAUAUCAAGUUUGUCGUUUGUGAGUUAGAUUGGGAAUUGGGAUAUGGGAUAGAUGGAGAUGAGAAUGCAAAUUGAGGUGAAUUAAAAGGAUGAUUUUUAAAACAAAGGGUGUGGGGGAGUGAGGGAGGGCAGGCGGAAAGCUUGGGAUGGACCAGCGAGGCAGGGCUAUUGUCGCGAAUCCUGUGACUGAGGGUCUCUGGUUGUUUGCUGUAAAAUUAAAAAAGGCGAGUGGUAAUGAGUGAUACAUGUACAUACAUAUGCUCCAAAUAAAUUACAUAGCCGUCGUCUCUCUCUACCCUCCACUACUCAUUUCACCUUUUUCUGUCUUUACAAUUACAGGGGUGGUACUAAAAGGAGAUGACCCUCUUACUCCACGCUCACUACAUUGCUUCUUCUCUAGCCAUUUUCACGCCUUGUUAUUUGAUUUAUUAUUCCAUGUUGUUAUAAUAAUUUGUUUAUCACCACCAUGCCUCGAUAUCGUAAACCUCAGAUUUGAAUCGGGAAGUAUCCGCAUUCCUUCCUCUUUCUCUCUCUCCCCCCUCUUCUGUCUCCUAUAUUUGUACCCAACUUCUCUCCCCUUCAAGCUCCCUUUGAUGUACACAUGUAGUUGAGAUCUCCUCAACUUUUCUGGUUAUAGAUUUCAAAGCUGUUUGAAGAUUCGAGCUUCAUUUUCCACUCUUUCUGUUAUUUUGUUUCCUUUGUGACAGAUUUUGCUGAUGGCACAUAAAAAUCUGCACGAGCUGUUGCAGGAAGAUCAGGAGCCCUUCCUUCUGAAGAACUACAUUGCAGACAGACGUUGCCAACUCAAGCGACCCCUACCCAAGACCCGUAUACAACUCAAGAAACGAAAACCCAUCUCAGAAACCUCGAGCUUUUCCGGAAAUUUCUGUAAAAAUGCAUGCCUUUUCUCCUUCCACGACUCGCCGGACGUCAAAAAGUCCCCACUUUGGUCCCCGGCCAAAAGCCCCCGCAAAAACUCAAAUGCCAUUUUCCUCCAUAUCCCCGCCAGAACAGCAGCUAUGCUUCUUGAAGCUGCGCUGAGGAUUCAAAAACAGUCUUCUCCAAAACCCAAAGCCCAGAACAAGAACGUGGGCUUUGGUAUAUUCGGGUCUAUAAUGAAGAGACUAACUCAGCGUAACCGGAAUCGAAAGCGCGAAAUCGAGGGUGAUGGUCUUAGGGUUUCUGUGAAGGAUAUUCUGAGGUGGGAUUCGUCGGUUGGGCGUAAAAAAUUCACGGAAGAUUUCAAGAAUGUUUCAGAGGAAAUGGUGGGAGUGGAGGAGAAAAGUGCUUCUGAAAUGGGGUUUUCAUGCUCUUGUAACGGAAGACUUAGUAGUGUUUGGUCUGAGAGCAAUGAAGAGAAGUCUUUGGACAUGGAGACCUCUAGCAGUAGCCAGUCCGAGGUCUCUGCAGAGAUUAUUGACUUCGUAUCUAAAGAGAGACAAAAUGGUGAUUUUGCUUCUUGUGAGAAGGAUUUUUGUACAAGCCCCUUUCGCUUUGUUCUUCAACGGAGCCCGUCGUCAGGACGCCAUACGCCAAACUUCUCCUCGCCGGCAACAUCCCCAGGUCGCCACAGGUCUCAGGUUUGUUCGAUUUCCAUUUUGUCACUUUUAUUAGUCCUUCUGAGUCGGCUGGGUGAGCGAGUUGGGGCACAACUCGUGACUCACUCGGGUAAAGUCGCCCAAAUUGGGAAUGCAAACUCAGCCACUCGUCUGAGUGAGUUGAGCGUGUUUGAAUUGUCGGCAAAGCAAUCUCUCGUUCUGCUUCGUUGGCCGGAAUGUCGUUGCUAGAUGACAAGUAUACCCAUUUAUUCCACCGCCAGAAGCAUAGAAAAUCCCAAACUUGAUCAUGGACAUAAAUGACAUUUCAACGUUUGUCAGCAUGAACCCUUGUUGUUUUGCAUAACUGUACUUUAGAUCACGUCUCUGGCAUGAAAAUCUUUUUAUUAAGACCUUGCCAUACAAUAAUUUCCCGAUAGAGGACAAAUCGAAUUUUUGUUUUUUCAGGUCGAUAUGUUUUGCAACAGAAUUGUUAUGAUUAAUGGUUUGCCUAAAAGAUUAAAGCAGUCAACAUUCACUUGUUGAUAGGCAAUAAUUGAAUUAUAGUUUAAUCGCAUCUGUAAUGAUUCUUCAUCCAAUUAUUAUUAAAAGCAGUUCGAUUCCCUUUACAACUGUGGUCAACUUCUGAGCAUUGUGAAUUUUAACAGGACAAAGAGAACAACUAUGAAGGAGAGAGCUUAAUAGAAGAAGAGGAAGAAGAGAAGGAACAGUUCAGUCCUGUAUCCAUAUUGGACCCUCCCUUCGAAGACGACGAUGAUGGACACGAAGGAGAUGAUGAUGGUGAUGAUGAUGGCAGUUUUGAUCUUGAAUGCAGCUACGCCAUUGUACAGAGUACGUAUCAUUAUUUCUGUGGCAUCUUCAGCUUUUAUCGUCCUUUUCAAGUGAUGCUGUUACCAUUUAUUUGUGCGUUCGAACUUCGAUGUUGGUUAAAAUGGAUUUUGAACAAUGAAAUUGAAAUCUAUGUCAGAUGGCAUUCAAGCACUGUAGGUGAAUGGGACUUGUACCAUGGGUUUAGGCUGCACAUCCACUUGUCCAUGAAACCGACUUUACUUCAUAUGUUUAUGGGUGUCCCACAUUUUAAUUAAAUGGACCAAAGGAAAUGAUCAACCUAGCUUUCGGUUCUAUUUCUUUUCUGGGGAUGGCUAUGUUCAUGUGACAGUUGUCAGAGUCUUAAAUUUAGUGGAACCAAAUUCAUAAUGAGUAUAGCCCUACUUACCUGCUGUGUGUUUAAAGCGUAAACCGGAGGUCUCCUGUACUUUUCUCUUCUGCAAACUGACUUUCCAUUGUACUUUGUUACAUUUUUUCCUCAUGACUCCCUUAAUUAAUGCACAAAGCGGGUCAUUGGAUGAUUGUUUAAUCCUUUUGUUCCAUGGUGUUGGAUUUACAGGAGCAAAGCAGCAGCUACUACACAAGCUUCGUAGAUUUGAGAAAUUGGCUGAGUUGGAUCCUAUUGAGCUUGAGAAGAGGAUGCUAGAAGGACUAGAUGAUGAUAACAAUGAUGCGGCCCAGUGGGAUGCAGAAUCAGAGGAUUGUGUAGAUGAUGAUGAGUCAAUAGCAUCAGAUAGGGAAAAGAAGGUAGAUGAUUUUGUAAGAGAAGUCCUUAACAAAUCAGGGUUCCACCAUUUUCAGGGAAUUCCCCAGGACAUGAAGAGACUGGUGUCUGAUCUCAUUGCCCAGGAAGAGAGAGAACAACAGUGCUCAAGGAGUAGGGAGGUGGUGGUGGAAAGGGUUUGCAAGAGGUUGGAGUCUUGGACAGAGGUGGAAUCCAACACCAUUGACAUGAUGGUGGAAUUGGACUUCAGAAGAGAGCUUAGUGGGUGGAGUAAAAACCAGGAGCAGGUUGACGAGGCGGCAAUAGAGAUUGAGCUAGCCAUCUUUGGGCUACUGGUGGAGGAGGUGUCAGAGGAACUCGUUUGUUUAAAAGGAAUUUAAUGGGGAGACUUUCUAAAGUUCCUCUGUUCAACCUAAUUGAAUUUUGGUUACAAAUUAAUCUUUUAUUUUUUCAAUUUUUAAGUUUGAUUGGAGGAUCAUAGUCUGACUUGCAGUGUCUAGGAAAAUGACCCAACAAGGAUCUUAGUUAGAUGGUAGCAUGGUAUUAUGUAUUUGUAUCAUGUAUGUAUCUUACUUGCUUUAUGAGACAUUACAUGUACAUCGCAUUCCUGGUGCCGCCAACUCUCAUUCUCUCAGCAGUUCAAUCAUAUACUAGUUAAAAGGCUACAAAACAUGCUUAAUAACAAGCGCGGGAAGGGCCGAAGGGGGGUGGGUGGGUGGGUGUUGGGUAAUCUGCCUGGCUUCACUGGGAAGCCAAGUCCUAGAUGAAAUUUGAACACGGAAUAAGGUUGAGGGGAGGUCAGCUGAAAACAACUUCUACCUAUUUGCUUAUUAUUUUCUUUGUUUUUAUAUGAAGGGUUGAAUGACAUCCCGUGUCCCAUCUUUUUUUAAUACUUCUUUUUCUAAUUUUUCCACACGGUCAACCAUCUGAAAUUCCAUGUAGUUUUUUCACUGACUGGCCUCAUGUUAUGUCUUUACAUCAAUGACAAUAAUGUGUAGGACAUUUUGUAAGAGCGGGGGCUCACGCAUCUGCUUUUGGCAAAGUUAUUAGUGAUAUGACACCCCAUCUACCAUACAUCUAAUGCCAAUUGCCCAAAUGCAAAAUGAUAAGAGGGAUUAUGUCAUGUCGUUAUCUUAUUAUUGCAUGGGACAAUGGUUUUAAAGGCAGUUUUAAUUUGCCUUCUCCUUUUGGCCAAAAGAAAAAUUAACUAGAACGAAUCAUACUACAGUUAGAACAUUUAAUUUGAGCAAAUUAAUUAGGGGCGAGAUAACUGCCCGUUCUUACAAUACCAAAUUGUAACAUCAAGUUGAAAAACUAUACCGCGGCUUACACGGAAGUCGUGCAAUGUGGAUAGCAGUCUAGCAGCUAGCAGCUUGCUGGUAAUGUUGUGGAAGCAGCAUUCAAUCAUGGCCCCCUAUAUGUAUUGGUUCCAUACGCAGAUAUCAGAUGGGAGCUAGAGAUAAGAUAGAGUACGAAAAAGGGUAUUCAAAGACCUCAAUUACUGUACUACACCUACCAGGAAGAGGAUAAGCCCACCUCUCCAGUCUCCCAUCCAAGUGAGACUCUAGGCACUGUACUAGGCUCAUUCAAAAUUUUUCUUCACUAACUUUCCAUUUUUUAUUCUCUCUGCUCAGCCUAAACAAUUGAUUGGAGUUUCAAGCGCAGAUGGCUUGAACUUUUCUCACUAAUUGACUCUAGCAGCAACAUACCUUGCUUUUCGAUUUAGGACAGUCAUACCUGAUCUGGCAACUUAUUUAUCCAGCCUAUCCACAGCAAUACAGGAAAAAGACAAUAGUUUGAAGUCUUUUAGCAGCCUAAUAGUCCAUGUUUACAUCAAAUCACAUUUUCAUUUUACCCAAACAAACAAAAAGUUGGAGGAAAAACUCAAUUUCUCCUUAAGAUCAUAUUGGAAAGUCGUACCUCCCCCAGCCAAAACGGGAACCAAAUGUGUAUAUGCUUGUAUUAUAUGAUAAUUGGGACAAGUGAUGUUUCAGCUGAGUGGUCAAUUUAUCUCGCACUUGAGAUUGCUUGCCCCAAAGACAUGACUUACAAGAGUUUAGAAACAGUGAGUAGCUAAUAUAUUGAUUCUGUGGCAGGGAAGACUGAAGAAUAGCAUUGGAGUAAUUAGUUUGAAUGCAAUGCAAUGUGGUGAGAUGGUGAGGUACAAUUUGCUAGUAAGUUGGAACAAAAUUGCAGGUGAUUCAGUGGAAGAGGAAGAGCAUAAAUAAACCGCUUUUACAGCCAAGGAACCUUCACAGAAAAUGAAAAUUACCUUUCACAUACCUCCUGUGACUAAUUUUCUUGUUACAGUGGACUGAUGCAGUUGAAAUGCAAUAUUAUGCACAGAGCUCUCCUCAGCUAAGAUAUCGGUACAUUCACUGGUUUCCCAGUACUAUAUUUCCACCAGGGAUGUGGUCCAGUCCCUCCCCCAUACUAGCCCACCUGCAAACAUAUAUAAUUGAACUGUACCAUGGUUGAAUAAUUUGAACUCGGAUUGGGGUGUAUGCAUAGAUAAAUCAACUACUGCAUCCAUUUUCAUAUUCAGCAUUUUAUCUCCGAUUGGCAAGGUUUGUACUGUCACGACGAAAAGACAGUUCUCAGCUGCCAUCCUACUCCAAAGCCCACCCCUGACCAAUAUGUUCGGCCUUGAAUCUAAGCACAUAAAUUCCUGAAAAAGGAAAAAGUAAUAAUAAAAAAAUUCUGGUUACCAGCUAGGCAUCCAUUCAUCUAUUAUUCAAUCUGUACCUCCUCUAAUGGAGGGGGGACCAAGAUCCCAGUUCGGGCACCUUGCAUACACGAAACUUGACUGCAUUCCCUAUAUUGGAAUGAAUGAAACGAUUAUCAAGGUAUUUGGAGCUCGAUACAUGGGAGGAUUCAGCGAUUCCCUCAACCCUCUUUCGGCUAUCAAGCACGGCUUCAUGCCUGUUUUCUUGCAAGGGUGGAUGAGAGGGAACAGACUCUUGUCCUUGGAAAGCUAAGAAAAUCUAGCAUAACGCAUGUUUUUAGAUUUCUUGCAAGAGUAUGACAAACCAAAAACUCGUUCUUGGAAAGCUUGGAAAAUUCUGCAGCCUAGAUUAGCAUGUUUUGAACCUCUGAUAUCUGAAUUGUCAUAUUCGUUCGUACUUGAGAAUACAUUGUGUUAAUUAUAGUAUAUGAGGUAAAAUAUUUAAAUUCAUCCCUGCAGGUCACGGCAUUGACAGGUUUACUUGCAAAGCCCUUAAAGGGCACUUAUUCUUAUCAGUUUGCCUUCCCAUUUAUUUCUAGAUACCCACUUACAAUGGGUAGGCAUCAAGUCUUUCAUUCAUCUGAACUCAGAAGCAUUCGUUCAUCAUUAUAGAUGAAAAGAAUGACGAUCUUAAACAUAUUAAGGUGAGUGAUAAGAGGUCAUUUUAAUUCUCUUUUUCACAUAUAGACAUUAUUUAUUUAUGCUUACUUUAUCAUUAAAUUACUUUUGGAUCGUCCCUUUUACUUACUUCAUACGGAGAGUUGCUUAAGUUUGAUAUCAUUUGUAUUUCUCUUGAAGGUAUUAUAUAGCAUGCACAAUCUUUACAUGCUCUGUAUCCACUUUAAGCGCACCAGAGGCUGAGGCUGAAGAGUCAAAUUAUUUUUUAUGUGACAGUGUUUUAAGAAAUAUUUUUAAAAACUACAAUAUUGCAAAAAAAACCCAAAGAUUAACCAACUCUUCCUCUCCCAAGUCACUUAGUUCUCCCUUAAACUCUCAUAUACAUUUUUUUUUUAUUCUUCAUCAAAUGAAUCUAAGUAUGCUAAAAAAAUGAUUGAUUACUUUUCAUGUUCCACAAUUUUCAUUAAUAUUAUAGGCUUGAUAGAUGGAAUCAAUAGGUAAGAAGAUAAGAAUUUGAGAUUGUUUGGCUUGUAAUUUUAAAACCGUUUGUUAUUUUUAAAAAGACUACUUUUACAAAUUUAUAACACUAUUUAAUGAUGGUUAUCUAAAAAUAUUUUUUAAAAGUAAGUUGAAAUGAUAAUUUUUAGAGAAAAAAAAAUGAAAUUAUUUUUGUUGGUUUUCAAAAACAAAAGAAAAAUAUUGAAAAAGAAAAAUGAAAACCAUAAAAAGCUAAUAAAGUAGAAGAUACUUUUUUUUUCUCAUUUUAAAUUCAACAUCUAUUACUAAAAAUAUUCAAAUAUAAUCUUAUCUUGAAUUAAUUGAUCUUUCUAAAUUUUCUUUAAGUUCUAUAAAUUUUUUCAUUAGGUAAAUAGAUUCCAAAUCAAUCAAUACUUAUUAAUUUUUAAAAACGAUUUAAAACUCAAAAACUCAAAAACUAUUCAAUUAAAACUAAAAAGUUAUGAAACCCAUAAUCGACCUAAUUAAAAUUAGAAAGUCAUAGAUUAAAAUUCUUUUGGAAGGACUUUGCUAGUUUUUUCUUUAUAUAUAAUUAUAAUCUUACAAAUUUUCUUAUUAUGAAAAUAAACUCUAAAUCAAGCAAAUUAAAUUUCAAUCGGACUUAUUAACAAAUUUAGUAAUUUUUAAAUAUUUAAAAAAAUAUAUAGUAAUACAAUUAAUAUAAAAAAAUUGGCCUAGAAUGACUAUGUUAGUUCUUUGUUGUAUAGAAUCAUAUUUUUUCUGAAUUUUUUCACCAAAUAAAUAGAAUUUAAUCAAAUAAGACUUGAUGCAUUAGAUUAAUAAAUAAAGCUAUUAAUUUUAAAAUAUAAUUUAAAAUUAAAGAAACCAAUAAAAUUACUACUAAAAACUUAUGAAUUAAAAUUGGUCAAUGAUGACUAUAUUAUUCCUCUUCUAUAUAUAAUUAUAUUUUUAUGCAUUUUCUUACUAGAUGAAUGAAAUUUAAACUAAGCGAGAAUUUAUACGUUGAAUCUAUGAAUGAGUUUAAUAAUUUUUAAAAUUAAUUUUUCUUAAGAUAUUAGCUAGAUCAACUUAAGGUAAUCACCUCCAAUAAAAGGAAAAGUAAUGAGUGAAUAGGGUGAUAGUCCAUUUUACAAAUUUAAACUAUAUGAAUGCAAGAAACAAUUAUAUACAAAUAUAAUUGUAAAUAGUAAAUGAGCUAUUACUUGAGACUUUUUUCACAAAAUAAUUCUUAAAAUAUUUUUUAUUCUUGAAAGGCUUGUAAUAUAACAUAUUUUUAUCGAACAUGCAUGUUUAGCUAAUAAGAAACAUAUUAAAAGAUUUUUUUCCCAAUCGAAAACCUUGCUAGAGGAUGUCAACCAUUCAAUUUUAUUUUUUUCUACUUUUCCUUUUUUUUUUAAAAAAAAAAAAAAAAGAGAUUUUUGUUUUCUCCAUUUUUUUCAAAUUUUUCUUUAAGCUCAUUGAGCUUAUUUUGAAGAUAAGAAAUCUUUUUCUUUAAAGAGGUAUUAUUUAACCCGAGUUUUGAAAAUCUUGCUAGAGGAUGUCAACCAUUCAAUUUUAUUUUUUUCUACUUUUCAUUUUUUUUUUCUCGAUUUUUUUCAAAUUUUUCUUUAAGCUCAUUGAACUCAUUUUGAAGAUAAGAAAUCUUUUUCUUAAGAGAGGUAUUAUUUAAUCCAAGUUUUUCAAAAUCAAUAUAUAUUUCUUGAAAAACCUCUCGAGGUUCAUUAUAGUUAUGGUUAGAAAUUACAUCAUCUUCAUGAUCUUUCAAAAAACCAUGGAGUACAUGUUAGUCAUUUCAUUUUCAUUUUUUUCUUUGGAUGAUUCAUUACUUUCAUUCUAAGUGGCUACCAUGACUUUCUUCUUUUUUUGGCAUUUAAAGAUUUUUUCCUUGAAUGGAUCCUUCUCUCCUUGAUUUUUCUAAGCUUGAUAUAUUUCAUAAAUUUCUUUGUAAUAAGAUCAAGGUCUCCAUCUUUGCUUUCCUUAUCUUUUUCAUUAAUUGUUGAAGUUUUGAAUAGUAUGUCAUUUUUCUUCUUCCGUUAAACUUCUUGAUGAUUGUUCAUUUAUCUCAUGAGGGGUCAUGAGUGAGUAAAUGGGUUCUUCAAGUAAGAGCUUGGUGGUAAGAUUUUUAAUUUCUUGGAUUGCAAUCACUUUUGUUUCUUAUUUAUUUGGUAAAGACCUCAAAAUUUUUAUGACUUUCUCUACUUUGAUGUAUAUCUUUCUCAAAGCUUGAAGUCCAUUUACAAUCUCUAUGAACAUUGUAAACAUAUCAUUAAUUGAUUCAAAAUAUUUCAUUGAAAACAAUUGAUAAUCAUGUACAAGAAUAUUUAUCUUAGAUUUUUUUAACUUGGUUGGUUUCUUCAUAAGUAAUUUCAGAGUCUCCAUAUGACUUCCAACACAAGCCUUUAAACUUUACAAUUGGAUUCACCAGCUCCAAUUAGCACUACAAAAUUCCUCAAAAGAUGUCUCACUUUUGAAUUUUCUAAAAGAUACUUCACACUUGACCAACACUAAAAAAUACCUUAUACUUAGAUUUUUUUUCUUUGGGUGAUACCUCACACCUAAACUCACUUCAAAGGUUAUAAGAAAGAUAUAGAAUUAAACUCACAAAAUACUAAUACAAAUUUAAAAUCAAAUGAGUAUAAGAAAAAACAAGAAUUGAAGUGUAUUAAUGAUAUGAAAGUUGAAAUUUUGUACUAGAAUUUUGUAAGAAUAUUUUAUAUCAUUUCUUGUAAAUAUUUGUGAGGUGAGUUCAACUGUGAGAGGUAUCACUUAUGGGAAGAAUUUGGAGACUUUGUCUUGAAAAGUCUUAUUGUAAAGGGUGUUUGGAAUCAUAAGUUUAAGAAGGUUGAUUGGAACCAUACCAAUUGUAAAACUUGGAGGCUUUGAUUGAAAACUACAGAAUAGUGGAACCUUCACUUGGUUAAGAGUUUGAAGGGAGUAGACAUAGGCCGAGUUGUAGUGAACCACUAUAAAAAUGAGUAUUUGUAUUUUUUUCUUCCUUAUUCUCUUUAUUUUAUAUACAAUUAUUUUUUUCAUUAUCUUUAUUAUAUAUUUGCAUAUAAUUGUUUCUUAUAUUAACUUAAUUUAAAUUUGUAAAAAAAAAAAAAAAACCAUAACUCUAUUUAUCCCCUGAGGUAAUUACCUUAGGUUGAUUUGGCUAAAAUUUUAACAAAAUCUAAUCACUAUUAUAAGUAAUAGAUUAGCACUAAUACUUUAUGAGUUAAGACUUUGUUGUUUCUCCUAAACACAUAACUUUGUUUUUUGAAUUUUCUCACUAUGUAAAUAUGUUCUAAAUUAAAUAAAACAUAACUAAUACUUUAAAUUUUUUUAAUAUCUUUUAAUUCUAAGAAUAAUUUGGAAUUUUAAAAUCUAACCUAAUUAAUUCCAAACUAAAUGAAACUAGUUCAAAAUAUUGUGUCAUAAUUAAGCAUUGGAUGUGUAUGUAAUGAAAAACUUAAUUUAUUUAUAUGUUAAAAAAAUUAAACUUCAUUUUUUAAAAUUUAUUUUAUUAUUAUUUAUUUUUAGAAAAAAAAAUCAAUUAUACUUUUAUGAUGAUGUUAAUAUUCAUAUUUUUAUAAAAUAUACUAAAAUCACACACACACACACACACAUAUAUAUAUAUAUAUAUAUAUAUAAUAUAAUUUUUUUAUUUUAUUACAGUAUUAGUAUUAAUAUUUUACUAAAAAAUAUUUAUUUGUUAUUAUAAAAUUAUUUUUAUUUUUGUAAGAAUUUAAUAAUUAAAUUAAUAUUAUAUAAAUUGAAUUUAUAAAUUUUUUACAAUAUCGAAAUAAAAAACUAUAUUAAAAAAUAAAUUAUCCAAGCAAUUUUUUAUUUAUUUUUUGGAAUAGUAUGUUUAAAAAUAACUUAUUAAAUAAACUUUUAAAAAAUAACUUAGUGGUUAACUUCUAACUCCGUGUUGGAUGGCCCUUGAUUAAUGUGUGAUUUAUCCAUUCUUACUUUUUUAUGUUAAUGUUGAUGACUAGAUAUGGGAAGAAGUAGGCCUAGGGAUGGGGCUCGAGUACUUGCGUCACCCACAAAGGGAUGAGUGUAAAAUUAAAAUAAACAACUUAGAGGAGAAUUUGAGAUUAUUUUGAAAAUCCAUAGGUUCGAGGCAUAUUCAAGUUUGUCUUGCCCUUCCCUGCCUCGAUUACAUAUAAAAUAAAAUUAAUUUUUAUUUCAAUAAUAAUAAUAAUAAUAAUUGUGAAUCAGUCAUAGUUGUCUCCUAAAGUCGCCUUGUUCUUUUGGCCCAAGGGUAAUAACACACAACUAAUCGAGUAGGUGCCUGAAACGCUUGAAAAUGUUAAUUGUAACAAACAUUAAGUACAUAUAACAAAUAUUAAGUGUUUUGAUUAACACAGUUGUUAUAAGGAUAUAACAUAAGUCUUUAAGGCUCACCAAGGCAUGAUAAUUGUUAUGAGUAGGUAAUUAUUGACAUUAAAGCUUGUAGCGUGCAUUCAAAUAAAUAGCCCCAUUUGGCAACAAAUGAGGUAUAUUAUCAUUUUUCUAAAACACUUAUUUUUUUGUUCAACUAUGACCUUUUAGUAGUUAACCGAUUACAUUCUUGUUAGUCGUGCACCAACAAUAAUAAUAAUAAAUAUUUUUCAAUAAAAUAAGUUAUAAAAAAUUAUAAUAUUAUAAUUAUUCAUAAAAUAUAUAUUGUUUUGAUGUAAUUAAAAAAAUUAGAAAUAAUUUUUAAUCCAAGAAUGAAAAUUAUUUUGAAUAAACAAAAUGGUGUUGGGAUGAGGUGGCCAAUCUCAGUCCAUCUCUUUGCUAUCCCAAAAUAGCUCUUGUUUUAGAUUUGUUAAUUCAUUUUUGGUUUACAUGACUUAAAAAAGGAAGAUAAAGCAUCUACAAAAGUUAUGCAUAUUGAUUAUGUGAUUUUGGAUUCGCCUCUGGGAUUUUGGGUCGUUUUACUUUCUUACAAACAGUAGAAACACCAAUUCAACAAAGAAAAAGAAGUGAAAAACUAUUUUUAAAGAUAAGUACUAGAAAACCUGGUCAAUCAAACGGACGGUUAGUGUUCUAGAUGAGAUUGACGUUCUGAUGAUGGAGUCAUUUUCAUUAGGCAGGGCUGGCAAAACCAGGCGGUUUAGUGCACCGUCUACGCGUUUUUCUGGGCCCAAAUUUAUUGGGCCUAGAGGAGGAUCUUAGUCUUGGGGCCGUCAAAACUUCAAUAUCUAAGUCGACCACAUAACAAAAGCAUUAGUAAGCCACUUCGCAAAAUCAACAUCACGAUGAAUCAUUAUAAACAAUGGGCGAUACAAAAUAAAAAUGAGAUCGAAUUGGUAGGUCAAAUCAAAAUUUGAUAAUGAUUGGCAUCUGAUUUCUUUUCAACCAUCCAGUUGGCUCAUAUUUCUCAAGGGGAGGUGGAACACAUGAAGCACAAGCCACGAUAUCUCUCAGUCUGCCUAAGCUCUCAUCCCAUAUUCUAAAAGCUUAGAUCAACCAGUCGUAAUCGAACACUAAUGGAAAAAAAAAAAUCAUUAUGGGUAAUGGGAGACUUUAUUUCCAGUUGUAAUUAUUGUUUAACCUUAUAAUUCAUGAUGGGAUUGCUGUAUAUAAUUAAAGCAUUGCAGACCUAUGGUUUUGGUGGAUGGCUUUAGGGAAGUACAUUAAUGUGGUUGGUUUCUGUAGACGAAAUAUUUUUUGGGCCUGGGGCCAGGGUUAGUGUCAUUUAAAUUUUAUAAAUAUUAAAUUAUUACUAGUACUUUGUUAAAGUUGGCAACUGCAUCAUUUGGUUUCUAUCUAUUAAGGUAAAGAAAAAAAAAAAUAUAUAUAUAUAUAUAUAUAUAUGUAUAAAAUUUACCUACUCCUGUGGAUUUGAUACGAAGAAGAUUUAGGUAAUAUUUAUUUUUUUUACUUAAUUUUAAAUAGAAGUUUAAUGUUUAAUAGUGUUAAAUAUUAAGUGGUUUGUUUUGUAGUAUUUUAUUUUUAUUAAGUAUUAAAAAGUAAAAAACAAUUAAUAUGUUAUUUUUUCUAUUUAGAAAAAAUUAAGAUGGUGUUUAUUUUUUUGGCUUUUUAUUGAAAGCAAAUUGUUUUUAGAAUUUAAGUUAUUUAUUUUUCUAUUUUUUCAUGACUUAUUAUAAACUUUUUAUUAAAUAAAAAAAGCCAAAAUAUAUAGCAUUUUCUAAAUAAAAAAAUAUAUAUUAGUUUUUCUUUACUUUUUAAUACUUAAUAGAAAUAAAAUACUAUAAAAACAAACAACCUAAUAUUUAAUAUUAUUAAGCAUUAAUGUCCUAUUUAUAAUUAAAUAAAAAAAAACAAACACUACCUAAGAGAGUGUUUGAUUUUUUUGCUUUUUAUUAAAAGCAAUUUAUUUUCAAAAUUUAGAUAGUUUGUUUUUCUAUUUUUUUCAUGACUUAUUAUAAACUUUUCAUUAAAUAAAAAAAAUCAAAAUAUUUAAUUUUUUUUAAAUAAAAAAAAUAACAUAGUGGUUUUUCUUUACUUUUUAAUAUUUAAUAGAAAUAAAAUACUAUAAAAACAAAUAACAUAAUAUUUAACACUAUUAAAAUUAAGUUUUUAUUUAGAAUUAAGUAAAAAAAAAUUCAUCUAAAAUUUUGAUUUUUUUUUAUAUUUAGUAAAAAACUUAUAAUAAAUAAUAAAAAAGUAAAAAAUUAAAUGAUCUAAAUUCUGAAAAUAAAUUAUUUUUAAUAAAAAACUAAAAAAAUAAACACCACGUUAGUUAUUAAUACGGAUUGAGGGAUAACAAUAUCAAUAUAUCAAUAAAACUAACCCUAGUUCGAGUGGAAAUUUGCCUAGCGUAUGAGUUUGUGUUUCUCGUCACCGUAGCAGUGACGAGACUCGAGCACCCGCUUUGACUUUGAUGGAGUCCAGUCCGAUAUUUGAAUGUUCAAAAUUUGAGCUCAUUUUCCUUGAGAAGCAUUAAUUAGAGACACGUAGACAAACAAAAAGUGAAGAAAUAGAUGGAAAGGAUCAGGUGGGUCAAACAAAGGUCCAGCUGACUUUGUCAAUGACACUCUACGUGUUGCCUACAGGUACUGCGGUACAUAGGCGUGGGACCGACUACCGGCCUUGCGCCUUUCGUCCAUGCUCAAUAUUCUGUCCACACACUCUCUUUCUUCCUUCUCAUCGUUGACCACUUCUAAAGUCCAUAAAUCACACAUGCAUAUGCCCCGCAUUCUUGUAAUAUAAUGUUUUUAUGAUGAACCUUUUUUUUUUCCUUAAAUGUCAUAGAAAUUCCUCUCAAAAUACCUCUAUUUUUGGAAUAUGAUAAAACGUGAAAUCUUUCAGGCACGCGAUAUUCCGCAACUGAAAUUUUGCACAUGCUAAUAAAAAAAAGACUAGGUCAACGUGUGUUUUUUACUUUUCUCCUUUAAAAGGCCAAUAGUGAAAUUUUCUUUUAUUCCAUGAACCAUUCAUCUCUCGUGCAUCUUUCAUGCAAAAGACUCCCACCAUUAAACCCAGUUAGUCUCGAUCGCAUUUUAACAUUUUCUCAGUGGGAAUGAACCCAUUUGAACGCCAAGUUACCAGCUCUUUCUCUGUAGAGUCUUCGUCGUCAUCAUCAUUUUCAUCCUCAACACGUGCACCAGGUAGUUCGUCGCAAACCCAUGAAGCAGGAAGCAGCAGCCAGAAGCGCAAAGCCGGGAGGAAGAAGUUCAAGGAGACCCGACACCCAUUGUACAAAGGCGUUCGACAAAGGAACGGCAAGUGGGUGUGCGAACUGCGGCAGCCUCGCAAAAGGAAUCGAAUAUGGCUGGGGACUUUCCCUUGCCCGGACAUGGCUGCUAGGGCAUAUGAUGUAGCUGCUUUGGCUAUUAAGGGAGACUCUGCUUCCCUCAAUUUCCCUGAAUCCGUGAGUCAGUUGCCUCGUGCAGCGUCAUCUUCUAUAGAGGACAUACGAUCUGCAGCUCUAAAAGCUGCUCAAACAUUUGAAGCUACGGAGAAGGAGAAGGAGAAAGAAAGGGAAGACGAAGAUUCAGACCCUUGCCAACUAUUUGUGGAUGAGGAGGCUUUGUUUAAUAUGCCGACUCUACUGGACAGCAUGGCGGAAGGCUUGAUCCUUACGCCGCUGGCACUGAAGAAAGGGUUCAAUUGGAACAGCAUUAAAGAGGCGGAAGACUUCACUCUCUGGACUGACUAAUCUCCUACUCCUCCCACUCCCGUUGCAUAAAAAUGGAAAGGAAAAAAGAAAAGAAAAGAAAAAUGUAGAAUUUGGUGGACUCAUUUCUUCACCUCCAGUGAUGACCAAUUGUCUGACAUUUUCCGGUCAUCCAGCUCAUGUAGGGCUUGUUUGGUUGCUGUGUUUUUAAAACUGUUCUGGAAACAGUUUUUGAUAACAGUUUUCAAUAACAGUUUUUUGCGUUUUUUAAAAAAAAAAAUUGUGUUUGGAACUGAAUUCUCAUUAAUAGUUUUUGUUCUAAAUAAAAAAAAUAUAUGUUUAAUUGAGUUAAUAAAAAAAAAUUAGAAUAAAUAAAACAAAAAAUAUGUUUGAAAAUUAUUUUUUUAAUUAAUAAAAUGUUUUCUUCAAUUAAUUAAUUGGAUAUUAUAAAUAUAUAAAUAAUUUUCAUAUGCAUAAUUCAUUUAAAUUAAAAAAAUAUUCAAUUUUGAAUUUUUUACAUCAAUUAUAAUUUUUUAAACAAAUGAUGACUUUUUCAUCAUAUGUAAGUAUAUUAAUUUUAAUAAUUUAAGGAAGAAGAAAGGGCUUACGGGUGGGGGUAUGGUGGUUGGGUGGAGCUCACCUUUGUGGAAACACAAAAAGCAAGUAAGAAAACACAAAAAUAAGGAAGAGAAAAUACAAAAAAUAAUAUAUUAUUUGAAUAGUGAAAAAAAUAAUGAUAAUAUCUUUUUAUUGUUCUCAAAAAGGUGGUUUUUGAGAACACGGAAAACACAAAAAACAAAAACACACUCUCUUCCCCAAACAAGUUUUUUGUGUUUUUUGUUUUAAAGAAUAUAAAACAGUUCUCGAAAACAAGAACCAAAACUAUAAAUUUAGCGUUAGGUUUAAGUUAUAAAUGAGUUUUUUUUUUUUUUUUUGUCUUCCUUUCUAUUUUUUCUAACAAAAAAAGAAAAAGAAAAAAGAAAGUCAUAGAUGUAUAUUACAUAAACUAAUUUGGGAUUUUUUUUUAUAAGAGUAUGGUAGUUUAAAAAAAUAAUUCCUAAAUUCUCGUGGUCCAAAAAAUAAUUUCAGAUCUAUCAUAAUUUUUACCAAAUAGGAAAUAGAAAAACAAAAAUUAUUUUUUCCUUUUAAAAUCGUCUCUUCAAAAUAUCAUUUAUAUAUAUAACAAAAAAAAUCGUAUUUUUAAGAGACAAUUUCUAUUAAAAAAAAUAUAAUUUUUAUUAAAAAAUAAUAAAAAAUAAAAAUAAAAAUAAAAAUAAAAAAUAAAUUAGGGUAGAGUUUCUCUAUUAUAUAUAUAUAUAUAUAUAUAUAUAUAACCAAAUUUAGGGAGAGAAAUUUGUGUAUUUGAAUUUCAAGGAAUGAUUUCUUAAUUUUUUUUAUUUUUUUUUUCUAUUUGAUCAAUUUUCUUGGGACCUAUGUUAACAACAGGUAAAAUUUGGAUAUAACUAAAAAUUAUAUUUUAUUUUCUUCAAAAUUUUCUUAAUAAAAAAUAGUUAAUCAUUUCUAAUUUUAAGUGUAUUAAAAUAUUUUUAAAGAAUUAUUUUAUUAUUAUUUUUAAAUUACUUUAAUAGUUUAUAAUUAUUAAAUAAAAUAUUUUAAUACACAAAUGAUUACUAUUUCUUUUUAAAUUUAUUAAUACUCAAAAAAUUAUAUCUCUUAAUGCUGAAAUUUUUUAUUCAAAAUUAAUUUAUUGAAUAAUAAAUUAAUUUAUUUUUCUAUGUUUUAUUCCUUUUACAAUUAAAUUUUAAAUUAAAGAAUAACAUUUUUUUAUUUAAAAGUUUAUCCAAUAAAAUAAAUUUAAAAAUAAAAACAAAAAAAAUUAUUUUAUUUUGUAAAUAAUUAUUUAAUAAAAUUUUAAAAUAAAAUUAAUACUAAAUUUGUCUUUUAUAAACUAAAUUUUUUUAAUCUGAAGUAAAGAAACAAAAAGUAAUAAAUAAAUAUCAUUUAUCUUAUAAAUAAAAAACAAUAUAAAACUAAAUUAGUUUUUAUUUAUGUAUAGUUAUAAUUAGUUUUUAAAGAUAAAAUUGAAGAUAAAGACCAAAAUAUUUUUUAAAUUAAUAUUUAACUUAAUAUAUAAUUUUAUAAAUAUUGUUAUUGAUAAAUAUCUCAAUAAUUAUAAUUAUUUUAUAUAUUAAAUUUAGUAAAUAAAAUUAAUUAAUUUUAUCAUAUAUAUUUAUAAUAAUUAUAUUAUUAUACAUAUAUAUUAUUAGUUAAAAUAUUAUUAAAAAAGAAAAAAGAAAAUGGACAAAUAGAGAAAUCAUCUUUUAUUUUAUUUUGUAGAAGAGACAAUUUCCUUCAUAAUUUUAUUUGUUUGUUUAUAUAUAUUUAUAUAUUAUAAUAGAAAAAUUGUCUCUUCAAGGAGUCAUUUUCCCUUGUUUUUUUUCUUUUCCUUAAAUCGUUUUUAGAAGAGACGAUUUUCUUUAUUUUAUUUUAUUUUAUUUUUAAAAAAUGGCUUCUUCUAGAGACAAUUUUAGUCAAUAAAUUUUAGAAAUCCUCUAUUGAAAAUAUGAUUUUUUACUCAUAUUUUUUUAUAAAUGAAAUAAAUCAUCUUUUAAAGAGACCACUUUGAAAAGAAAUAUCAAUUUUUGCUCUUCUUUUCUUUACUUGGCAAAAAUUACGGAAAAUUUAGAAUUAUUUUUUUCAACUUGAGGAAUUAUGUUUUUAAAUUACAAUAGUCUUAUAAAAAAUCCUGCUAAUCCGUCCAAACAACAAACUUUAAUUUUGAUCUGUCCAACGGACCUCAUAUGUCUGGCUUGGAAACCUAAAUUCUUACUUGACUACUCUUCUAGAUUUACGAAAUUAAAUUUUGACAAUGAAUAAAAAAAAAUCAAAAUAUCCAUGGCCUUUUAAAAUUGGGAGAAUUACCCAAAAAGGUGGGUUAAAAAAAAUAAUAACUACGAAGGCUCACUCUUUUAAAAGACAAUUUUACCCUUUAAUUUAUUUUUUAUAUUAUUUAUAAAUAAAUUGAGAUUGUCAAUGAUGUGGGGCCCAUACAUGAUGAUAAGCACAAGUUGAUAAAUAAUGUGGGACCCAUACAUGAUGAUAAGUACAUGUUGAUAGGCAAUCAACAGUACAUUUUUCAACUUUAUAAAAAAUUGUUAUCACUUUUGAACAAUUAACUAUUUAAAAAUUCAUUAUUUUUUUUUAAAUUGAGAUUUUUUAAAGAACCUUGUAAAAAAAAAUAAUUUUUAAUAUCUCAUAAAUAAAAAGCAUAUCCUAAAGUUAUUAUAUCGUUUUAUAUAUAAAACAUACAAUUAAAAACUUUGUUAUCAUAAUAUAAUAAAUAAUUAUUUUUUACGAGCACUCAUCAAUUGAAUAAUAUAUAAAUAUUCAAUUGACUAACACACACCUAUUAAAUGGAAUAACUCACAAUUAUUCAUUGGGUAAUAUAGCACGUGAAAAAAUUAAAUAAAAAUAAAUUAAAUUAUGUUAUAAUAUAUUGUAAUGAUAGUGUAUUUAUAUUGUAAGUAUAAUGCAUUUAUGUCGUACCUAUAUUUCAUUAUAAAAGUAAUAAUUUAAAAAAUGUUUAUUCAUACCCUAUUGGUAUUAACACAUCGUAUUAAUAUAUUAACAACAUUUAUUUAGUGUUUUGAUAUUAUUUAAUAAUUUUUGUAUAUAUAUAUAUAUAUAUAUAUAUAUAUAUAUAUAUAUAUAUAUAUAUAUAUAUAUAUAUAUAUAAACUAUGUGAAUUCAAAUUAGUAUUUCAUUUGAUUUUAGAAAUUAUUUAUAAUAUAGGUAUGUUGUGAAAUAUGGUAUGAUCAUACAAAAUUACCAUUUUUAUAAAAAAAUUCAUAAAUUUCUUAAUUAGGUUUUAUUGUAAUGUAUUGUAAUGUAAGUGUAUUUAUAUUGUAAUUAUAACAUAUGUUUAUUGUGCUUGUAUUGUAUAAUAAAAGUAAUAAUCUUAAGGAUCACCUUUUAUACCUUAUUAAUAUUCAACAUAUCAAAUAUAUUAACAUCAUCCACUUGAUACAUUGAGAAAAAAAAUUUAUAUGAAAAUUAAAUAAAAAAAAAACACUAUGCAAAGGAAAAAAAAAAUCAGAUAAAUUUUUUUAAAUUAUUUUAUUAUAAAAAUAAAAAAUGAUUCAAUAUUUUCUAUCAUUUUCUUAUUAUUUUUAGAGAAUUUGAAUGAAAAAUUAAACAUUUUAUCUUCCUUAAAUUUAAUACAAAAACAUAAUUUAUCAAUUUAAAAUUAUAAUAUAUAUAUAUAUAUGAAAAAAUCAUCAUUUUUAUUAUAUAAUUAUAAAACUUAUUUUUUUCUUCAUAAAAUUAAAAAUUAGAAUAAAAAUAAAAAAGGUAAAAAAACAAUAAAUGAUAUUUUGAAAAUAUUUUUUAAAAGUAUUUUUGUUUUAAAUAGUAAAUUUAAAUAACAAAUUAUAUAUAAUUGUAAAGAUUAAACCCAAAAUUUUGAUUUAAAAUUUAAAUAUCAAUAAUUACAAUAAAUAUGAGACCCAUGUACUAUAAAUAUAUUGACAAAUAAAGUAAAGUGCUUUAAAUGUUUUAAAUUUUAAAAGUUUUAGUUAAAGAGCAAUUUUGGUAUAUUAAGCUUACUAAAGUCCUCCGGCUACCACCUAAUUAUUUUGCCCAGCUUACCUUUUGAGUAAUUCUCCCUUUAAAAUUUAGAUGUCAAUGUUUGCCAAACAUUCAAAAUAGUAAAUGGGGCCAAGCAAGCUGUUGUCUUGUCAUGGUUGAAGGAAGUACAUGUUCGCCUUUUUAUACUCACAGUCAAUCUUUCUGAUCAGUUACAAGUCAUAAAAAUGGAUCAAAAUGCAAAUUGAAAAGAAAAGGUAAAAGAACAACUUUGAACCGGUAAUGCGGCGGCCCACCGUCCUGGCGCAAUUGAUGGAUGGUCAUUUCAGUGCGUCUGAGUAAGCACCGGUGAUGCGGUGAUCCACCGUCCUGGCGGAACUGAGGGAUGGUCAUUGCUGUGGGUCUGAGUAAGCACCGUCCUGGCGGAACUAUUCAUUUGGGUCUGACUAAGCACGGAAAAGAUGGUGCAGUGACUUUUUGGCAAUUGUGGUUGACUGUUGGAGAAAGUAGAUGUUGGCACAUCAUUCAAAAAAGCGAACGAUGAACCGGCAACCGAAAGGUCACCGUUGCAUAACUUUUGAAUGAAAAUCCCUCCACUACUAUCGUUUCAUUCAAUACAACGAUGAUGCUUUUAGUGCGCAAUAAGCACGACAGUCCGAUCGGGGAACGAAAGAAGCCAGAAGGACAUAUAAUUAUGCUGAUGAACAAGCCUAAUUUACAAAAGUCUUAUGACCAAUUACGAAAUUUGGCUUCUAAUAAUCUUAACAACCGAAUGGUCGAGAGGUUUAGUGGUCCAAGCAUUAGGCAAUUACUGUGGGAAACUUCAAACCAAUAAUCAUUGGAGACUACGAAUUGAUUUCAUCAAAUUUCUAUACACUAAAAGAGUGAAUGAGAUAACUCUUAUUCUUACUUCUCUUUUCAUUUAGAAUUUAUAAUAAUAUAAUAUUGACUCAAAGUUUGAAUCAAUAUUAUUACGUUUCAAGAUAAUGAGAUCGAACUAUCCCAUUAAUCUGUAUAAGUUUUUAAUAUGAUGACCGAUGAAUUCAUUCAUAUUAUAUAUUUACCUAUUUUAUGUUUAUGGUUUUGUUUUUUAUAAAGCAUGAUCGCAAUAAAUAAGAUUUUUUUUUAGAGUUUUACCACUGUAACUCUUCUUACUUUUUUUACUAGUAGAUUAUUGAAUGUUAAUACAUUUUAUGGGCAUAGGAAUCAUAUUGAUCAUCAAACCAUAUUAAAAAUCUUAUAUUUACUUUAUUUUAUAAUAAUAUGUAUACCUGAUUUGAUUAACAUAUAAGACAAGAUCAUUCCACUAAUAAAUGAUUGACUCAAUUCACGUUGAAUCAUAUUUUGAAAAAAUGUCAUUUUAUUUUUACCUACAUAUUAGUCUUAAUUUUACAAUCAAAAUAAUAUAAAAUAAAAUUUAUGUUGUACAGGCAAAUAAAAUUAAAAAGUAAAAAGUAAAAAUCAAGACAAAUGUAUUUUUUUUAUAUUACGCAUAAAAAAAUAAUAAGAUUAUAAAUUGAACUUAUUGUAAUUAUUUUAUUAAAUAUCUUUUUAAGCAAGAAAGUCUAUUAACGAAGAAGAAGAAUCAUUUUCAAUUCAUGUGUAAAGAGUUGGGGUUGACUUCUCAGCAAUGUCAGAGUAAGCAUGAUAAAUUGAUAAUUGCCCAUAAACAAGAGCGGAACACCAACAGUGUCAAAGUUAUUGUUCAGUACCAAUUAUCACCUAUUAAGCUAAAAGAUAUGUUCUCGUUAAUCUGCUCAAACGAUAUCUGAAAAAUCCACCUAAAGUUGUUAUACAUAGAUCACGAGCCAUAGGAAAAAGAUGUUCAUUUUGCUAUCCAUACAUGUACUUUAGAUUUAAUAAAUAAAGGAAGGAACCGAGAUUGUUUUGUUAUUGCAAUAGUAGUAUUUUGGAAAUAUGGUCUUAACGGGGAACCCCUUUUUGGGCCCGUGCAGUAAGAAGGCACAUCCAUGCAAUUUGAAUGUGGGCCUAAGACGAGACGUCACAUUUCACAAGACUGUUGGGUUGGCUCGUAGGCUCCUGCUUUUGUUGGCCCAAGCCCAACUCAUUGCCGUUAUGGAAGUGAAAAAGGAAGAGUGGAGGCGUUCAUAGAUUUCAUAUAUAGACAAAAUUGAAUCCUAACUUAUCUAAAGAAAGAGAACCAUAUAUGAUAUAUAUUUAUGUAUAUAGUCACCACUGACAACAUAGACCAGACAAACGGAUGGUUUCAUAGGAGUACUUUUCAUUAAGGAAGAGUGGUAGCUGGCAGGUUGAAGAUCAGAUCAUAUCCCCAGAUCCUCCACGACUACGAUUUGGAAACAGAGGUGGAUGAUGGAAGAAAGUAACAAUGAUGUUGUGGUGAGGAUAUGGGAGGUGAACAAGGAACGCUUAGCACGUAUGCAGCAGAAAAUCUCGGAGGAGCCACGAUUACUGCGCAAAAGCGCAGGCAGAAGCUCAUGUUGCAUCUUCAGAGUGCCUCGAACACUAGUUGAGAUCAACAGUCGCUCUUAUCAACCUCAUAUAAUCUCCAUAGGUCCAUAUCACAGGGGUGAGCCUCAUCUCAAAAUGAUCGAGGAGCACAAGUGGUUGUACUUGGGCUCCUUGAUUGCUAGAACGCAGCGUCAUGGGUUGGGCUUACAGGACUACUUGAGAGCCCUACAGCCAUUGGAGAUGGAAGCUAGAGAGUGUUAUUCGGAGAUAAUCCACCUUGACACCCACGACUUCUUAGAGAUGCUGGUCCUGGAUGGUUGCUUCAUAAUUGACUUCUUUCGUAAAAUUGGAAAAAUGCAUCCCUUUGAGCCAGAUGACCCUUUGGUCUCCAUGUCAUGGGUGUUCUCCUUUUUCUUGAGGGAUCUUCUUCUGCUGGAGAAUCAGCUUCCUUUCUUUGUUCUCCAGCGCCUGUUUGAUCUCACAAAAAUGCCAGGAGAGGAGUCAGGCCCUUCCUUGGCUAGCCUUGUUUUGGGAUUCUUCAACAACACACUGCAAAGGCCAGAUGAGAUCCUCCAAAAGCAUUGCAACCUCAAAGGCAAGCACUUUCUCGACUUACUUCGGUUAAGCUUCAUCCCUGAGGAACAAGAGCUAGGAACCCUCGACCAUAGACCCACCCACUUGAUCCAGUGCGUGUCAAAGCUUCGUAAAGCAGGAAUCAAGCUCAAGUCCGGAAAGGCCGAUAGUUUCUUGACUGUAAAAUUCAGGAAUGGAGUGAUGGAGAUGCCACCUGUAACCAUAGAUGAUUUCCUCACCUGUUUCUUCCAAAACUGCGUAGCCUUCGAGCUAUGCCACAAGGACUGCACCAAGCACAUCACCACCUACGCUACUUUGUUGGAUUGCCUAAUCAACACAUCUAAAGAUGUGGGGCAUCUCUGCGAACGUAACAUUUUUGAGAAUUAUUUUGGAACCGAUGCAGCAGUUGCUCGAUUCAUCAAUAAUUUAGGCAAGGACGUGACUUUUGAUCCAGACAACUGUUAUCUUUCCAAAUUAUUCAACGACGUGAACGAGUAUUAUCACAAUGGUUGGCAUGUUCAGUUAGCGGGCAUGAAGUACACAUAUUUCGACACUCCUUGGUCAUUCAUAUCAGCCUUUGCUGCUUUCAUUCUCCUCCUCCUCACAAUAGUCCAAACCUUCUACACCGUUUAUCCUUAUUUUCAUCGUCAAUGAUCGUCGGCUUCAUCAUCCAUGUGAGUAUCAUCUAUACCAUGCUACUCAUUUCUAUUCUUAACUAAUAAAAAUAUCCUUUCAGAGAUCAUAGAUCCAAGUAUGUAGAGGUCUUUCUAGGUUUUCCUAUUCAGCAUCACAGAUUCUAGGUUUUCUUUUUUUCUUCUAUAAUUGGUGAUAAGUUAGAUGAAUGGUGAGUCAAAUGGAAGCAUCUUGAAUGAAAGCUCAAGCUAACGUUCCUUAUACAACCAACGUUCUUGUUUGGAAGCCCUGUUAGACACGUGACAUGCAGGAGUAGUAUAGAGCAAGCAAUUUCUUAGCUAAAAUAUUGAACCCCCCAUCGCACGAGAUUUCAUAUGCUUUAAUCAUUCAGGGCCUGAACCAUGCUUGCAUCUAUAAAUUUUCCAGGAAAAAAAAAAAUACUAAAAUAGUGUGUGUGAACAAUGAAGAUGGCUUUCUCUUGCUCGAUGAUUUGUUAUAUCAAUCUGCGUCCAAUUACAAAUUCACAAAGUAGGUUUGCUUAUCAAUAUUGUAAAAUGAGAUAAUAGCACCAAAAUUUAAGGUUUGCUUAUGGUCCAUACAUGAAAAGGCGGCAAAAGUUAAUUCUAAUACCGUCUAAAAGAAUAAAUCAACCCGAUUAUGGUGGAGGAACUUGAAGCAUAUAAUUAGUUUAAUAUUAGGGAACAAUUAAUUUAGUAGGUGAAUGGCUCUUUCAUAAUAUUUCACGCUUCUACGUUUCCCAUCCAUCAGAUUCGUGGCCAUUCAAUUUCCCAUGGCUGGAGAAUCGAAGGUACACAUAGGUUGCCAGGUGGUGCCCAAGGCGUAAAUAUUAGCCCUCGCAACAUGACAGUCUUCAAGAUGAAUAAAUGAAUAUCCACCCAACUUAACUCCGAGGCUGCGUUUUGGGGUUGUAUUGGACUAGUCUUACAAUAUCUAUAUUAAUAUAAGGACUUUUAAUAGCUUGAGUUGGGUCGAGUUGUCUUGGAAAAUAUUUUGGACAAUAAUUGGGCGUCAAGCUUGAAUAGAUUUGUGAUCAGAUAACCCAAUCCAACGUUAUCUAUAUAUAUCCUUAUUGUGUUUCGAAACUCAAUUUGACAAUUCAUGACCUCAAUCGAUUUUGUCAGCUCAAGAAUACGAACAAUAAUAUAUACUAUUGUGUUGUGAGAUGUCUUGCUUUUCUGCAGUGGCACAGAGCUCUGAGGUAUGCGCUUAAUUUUCCGAGGAAAAACCGAUUAUAUAUAGCUGGAAAUGGAUUAAUUUUGAAACAGCCAUGAUAUUUGAGGAUUGAGAGGUUGAAAAUACUGAUAUUUUGUAAACGUUUGACUGAUUGUUUAUGAAUUUUGAUAUUCCAUGCACGUCUUCUCCCACAUAUAUAUAUAUAAACACAUCAUCUAAACUAAACAAAUCCAUUUGUUUUCCUAAUUUUCUUACUCGACUCCUAUAUAAUAGCCUGUUAUAAUAUAUGUUAGCUGAAUACACAUUCACACGUCCAACACUUCAUGAUGUGGUCAAAGUGGUCCAGCACUUUGACCACGUCCUCCACCAUCCCUCUUUCGUUGCGCUUAAGGAGCACAUUCCAGCAACUGGUCAACAUGGUGGCAAGAGCAAUAUGGUAUGAUGGAAGUCACGGUUAUAAAUAUAUGAAAAAUGGUCCCAAACUCGUCUGCUACUAUUAUUAUCUUCAGGAAAAACACCAUCUAAAAAAAGAUAUAAAAGUUUGGAAAUCUGGGUUUUUGAAACUGAUUAUAAUGACUGGAGAUAAGUAGACUAUUCUUAGUCUUUUCAGUUUUGAUUUAUGUUGCAAAGUCAUUAGAGUCGAAUAUAGCAUGUAAACUUCUUUCAACAUACACUUACAGCGAUUAAGAUAUAAAGGACUAAAGGGUUGAAGAGGACUUCAGUGUGGGUUGUUUGGCUUCCAGGAGGAGGUUGGAACUCUUUCUUUUUUUUUGUUCCCUUUCUUGGCUCUAUCCGACAUGGGCUUUGUUGGUUGAAAGUUUCAUUUGAGCAAGUUUUGUAUUAGCUUUUAUAUGAUUAUUUUACUAGUAAUAUCUAGCUUUAUUAGAAAGGAUGAAUACCAUGCAUAUUGCCCUAAUGUCACUAUGAUGACUUCAUAUAUAUAUAUACGUAUGUUGUCAUACCCCUUUCUCAUAUUCAAUUUAUAAAACCGGAAGAGACGUGCAUGCAUGCACUUGGCACCCAGAGAAAUAGAUAUAUAUCUAGUCAUUUAUUUGGCUGAGUACAGGAAAUGAAUCCUUUGAAUGAGUUACUAUCCCAUGGGUACAAUUGCUCAUUCAAGACAGGUUUGGUCGGUUUUUUUGGUAACCCAUGUGGAGAUGCAUACUCUAAGCUAAUACAAAGACUUUAUGAUUUUAGCGCAUAUUAAUACCAUUUUCUCCAUCGUAUUAAUAUGCACAAAAUUUGUUGACAUUCAACUAUAUGAAAAUCGUGCUAAAGAUUAAGAUAAUGUUUUUAUUUUUAUCUUAAAUUUGAAUAAAACUAAAUAUAUUUUUUGUUUCUAAAUGUAUCAUUUUUGGAUGGAAGGAAUUACUUUAUACAAUCAAAUUAACAAUAUCCCAAAAAUAUUAAUUAAAAAAAGUAAUUUAAUAUAGUUUCAAAAUGAGAUUCGGUAUCCUAUCCCAGCUUGAAAAAUGAGAUUCCUUUAGAAAGAUUCAUAAAAGACGGAUUGCAAUGUUUUUGAGUAGGUACCAUCUCUGAGUUGUUCCCGAAAUACCAACACCAAAUGAAUGUGUCUACCGCUCCAACUUCAAGUCGCAGUCUUCAAGGCCCCCUAGAAGAAUUAUCCGUAGCUAGCUUGAGGGCUUCAAAAUCCGUGCUCUUGAUUUUUCCGGGGUUGGUGAAGAACAGAAACAUGGGUGGAAGUCUGAAAUAUUGAUGCCUUGGGGCAGUGUACGUAUAUUAGCUAACCCUUGCAACUGCAACAUUUUCUUUUUCUUUCUUUUUUAUUUUCUUGUCAUUCAUUGCAAAGAGGAAUUGAGUCUUUUAUUUUAGUCUUCCACAAUUUUGAAUUUGGCGAUGCCUCAUGCAUGGGUUACACAUAUUUGAGGAUCAGAAAAAGGAACGUGUCAGCUGCAGAAAAGUCAAAAUUUUUCAGAGAAUCACUAGUUGUGAUUAUCAAAUAACAGUAGUAAUCUGAUUCUAGGUACAAAAUUUAAUCAGCAAAUGGUUGGGGUCUCCUAAGCAGUAAGACGUGGAAACACAGGAUAUGAGAUCUUCCCCAUAUAACAUUGACCGAUUUGUGGGCCACAUGGACCUUUCUCAUUGGAAAAACCUUCGGCCUCCAUUCUGAAGAGAAAAAGUGGACAAUCAAUAUUUGUUAUAAAGAAGAUGGGCUUGAUUUCAUUACACAAGGUUAGAAAUCUUGUGUCACCGCUGUUGAGCCCAUAUUACAAUUGUCCACAGUUGGGCUGGUCCAUCUAUGCUUGGUAGAUCUAGUGCAGCAAUUCUCUACUUGAAUGCUUGAAUUGGGUUGAUACUGAAAUGAAGCCAUGGAUCAAUCAAGAGAUUCCCAAUGAAAAACUUAUCAGAGGAGAGGGGUUAUACUUAGGACUAUAUUUGGAAUGAAAAUUGUGAAUUAGUUUUAGAGAAGUUUAAAGGCCAAUUCAGAAUGGUAGAAGCUAUCAACGAAACUUGUAAAGCAACUAAUUCGAAAUAUGGAGUCUUAGCUUUGUCAAGUUGCCGAUGAAGAAAAAGGAAAAGGCACUUUCACUAAUAAUAAAAAAGGAAAUUAAAUUUAAAUGUGAUUAUUUGCCCUCAGAUCACGUGGGCCGCCAUGAAAGGACUCUCCGUCCGUCCAUCCUUAUAGAUAACUUUUUUUAAAAAAAGGGAAUCUAGAAGGUAAAAGUAUCCAUCAAUGAGAAAUGAGAAAUGGGAAAUGGUUUCCUGUGGUGAUGUGGCUUUUACCGUGUGCUACGAUUCUAUUUCAAUCUUUUUCACACCAAGUAAUAACCAUCCCAGUUGAAAACUUGAAAAGGCGAAAUAACAAGGGAAUAUGUAAGUGGUCAAUAGUUGAUGUUGAUGAAGAAGAAGAAACAAGGGGCAUAGCCGAAGUCAGCACUCAGAAGCCUCCACCGCACAUUUGUUGGGCCGCAUGCCUCACACUGAGUCACACAUCUUCCUAGUGGCAGACCAUAUGGCUUAGUCCAUGGCAAGGGACCGGGGGCAUUAGGUUGGAACAAUGAGGAAGUAAAUAUAUAUAUAUAUAUAUAUAUAUAUAUAUAUUAUUAUUUUUUUAAAUAAAAAAUAAAAAAUGUACCUAAGAUCGAAAGCCUUGCCAGACUGGCAUAAUGAUCUGCAGAAUCCCAAGGGGUUAGCCAGGCUGUCUGAAUUAAACUCAAAAUAAAGUGGCCUUAUUGGGGUCUGCCUAGAUCACAUACUUUUUACUCUGUGUGGCUGUCCUUAAAAGUUGUGAAACGAAAAACGGAGAAAAUACUUUGUGGCUGUCCUUAAAAGGUUGUGAAACGAAAAGCGGAAAAGAUUAUAUGUUAAUUUCCAUGCUCUGAUUUUCAACCAUGCAGCUUGAAGGGUAUAAUUUAUUUGUUUGGUAAUUAUUUUUUAAAAUAAUUUUUUAUAUUUUUUAAAAAUAUUAUAAAUAAUUUUUUUAAGAAAUAUAUAUAUAUAAAUUUUAAAAUAUGUAAUAAAAUAUAAAAAAAUAAUUUUUAAGAACUAUUUUUUGAAAACACUUGUCAAAUAGGGUUUGAUGUUUUUUCAUUUUUAAUGUCUUUUUAUUAGAGAAAAAUUAUGAUAGUUGGAACCCAUAAUUCAAAGCUUCUGGAAAAUGGGAAGGAGUGACUUCCCAUUGUAUGAAAUCCCACAAGAUUUCAGGUCUCCAGAUUAAGCAGCGUCAAUUAACUAGGCGUCCCCUCAUCUAGACUUUGUGUUUGGGUGGAGAGAAUAAGGAGCAUGACGUGGUCCACCCACCACCAUUCCCCAUGGAUAAGGUCAAGUUGCAAUUAAAUUUAGCAACGCCGUAUAAAAUUUAACUGCUGUUUAUACUUUGGUUUAUCAUUGAUGCUCGUACGAUUUCCCUUUGGUUUUCUCUCCUUUUUCUCCUUUAUUUUGGUGCAUAUCAUUUUCAUGGGGGUUCUCGGUCACGCGAGUCUGUUUGGAAGCUCAACUAGGGCAUAAUAGUUAAAAUUUAUACCUUUGUUGCGUAACCCAAAAAAGGGAAAAAAUAAUGAAUGGAAAAGCAAUAGAAACCCUAGACUGUCAAUCAAUCUCUACUACGGGGGGAUUAGUUGUUGAUGACGACGGACCAAUAAUCACCACUAGUAUGGAGUAUUGAUUAAACACAGCUACAGAGUUGAAGAUCAAAUUGAUUAGACGCUUCUAAUGACGCCCAACCUUUUUUCUGAUGAUUGAAAUAUAUUGGGAAUCCUCACAUAGUGUCGAGCGUCUAAUAUUUGGGAUACAGACUAUCAAGUGGGUUUCCACUCGUUGAAUAGUUCGGUUUGGUAAUAAGAAUAAACCUCUAUCAAAACCACUCUAGGGCACCAAAUUGGAGUGAGACCAGACCCGGAUCAAGAGUCCAAAGCCUCUACUAUUCUUCCAUAGUUACAUUACUCUUACUCACCAAUAAAGAAACUUUUAAGGGAAGGGCCAAAGGACCAAUUGGUUGGGCCUGUCCAGGUUUCUGAAUGUGGGCGUGAGUCAGCAAUUCCUUGGUGGAAGUAAUUCCCCCAGGCCCACUGGUGGCUGGUUAACCCAUUGAGCCCAUUGAGCCCAUUGGUCUCCCUCCCUGCUGUGUAAGAACAUGCAUUUUAUGAAUCGGUAUCUACAAAUUUUAUUUCCUUGACUAAAAACCCAUAAACACUCAAUAUGUCUGAUGAUUAAGAGGAGGUGGUUGAAUGACUUUGAAAUGAUUACUUCCCUCAACCGGGAUUCAGUUUUGCAGAUGAUUUCAUUUCAGAAAUGGCACAGUUGUAAAAAUGGUUUGUGAGGAUGCCAUUGGUUUGAAAUUUGAUUGUGAGAUGAGUAUAGAGGGAGAUGUAGGGAUGAAUAGGAAAAGCAUAAUAAAUACAUUGAAACACAGUCAAUAAAGGUUAUAAUUAGGUUUUGUGUGGGUCUAAAAUCAUUGCUUAAUACUUAAAUUAUGUGAGUGUGACCCCCAUUAAUCUCAAGAUACUUAGAAUGUGUAUCAUUUGCCUCUUGUAUGAAAGAACUAAUAUGGUGAACUUUUGGGAGGAUUAAAAGGAGCCCAAUUUGGCACCGUGUGUACGGCUGAUGACGCGUCGUGGUGGAGAUGAUGGGCUACCGCUACAAUCAUGAAUCAUCCUGACAAAAAGGGCGGCACCAUUUUUGUUUCUGUAAAUUAAACUGGCAGCUACAUACCAAAUGGCGGCUGACCUAGCAUCUACGGUUGAUGACAUGGAAUCUCUCCCCCUCUCAACCUGCCUUGCUUUUUCAAAAGUGCUGCUGCGUGUGUCGGAAGUUUUUCAAACGGAAAAUAUAUUUUUCUUUAUCUAUUCGGGAAGGAGCUUCUUGAAUUUCUUAUUUAUUUUUCCUUCGUGCAAAAUAGAGCAUAAAAGAAGGGAAGAAAAUUAUUAUUUGAUUAUAUUAUAAUAAUUUUACGGUAUUAUCACUUCAACCAUAUGGUUAAAAAAAAAAAAUGAAAGAAUGUUAUCUUUCACGUAGAAAAUAUUAAGAUUGUGCUCAUCUUUUAAAAUAUUUAAUGAAAAAUGUGAAGGAAAAGAUAUAAAGAGAAAAAAUAGAAUUUUUUUUUUUUAAGUUUUAUUUAUUUUAAUUUUUUUUUAUGAAAAUUAAAUAAUUUAUAAAUAAAUAUUUUUUAAAAUUAAUUUUAAUUAUAAUUAAUUUUUUAAAAAUUUUAUAAUAUAUAUAAGUACGAGAAAAUAAUUUUUAUUUAACAUUAUUUUUUUUUCAAUUUUUUAAAAUUAAAAAUACAGCAUAAAAAAAAUGCCAACCUAAAGUUUUACAUAUUUAAACCUUCUAAUCUAAAAAUAAAACUAAAACAUGAAAUGUUUUUGUUAAUUUUGGACUUGCGUUACCUCAUGUAGCCAAGAAGAGAAGAGAAAAUAAGCAUGAAGAAGGUUUUAUUCAAAUAUUGCUCUCGUGUGAUCAAUUAUUUUCUUACUUUUUCAUGAGAUUCAUGUAGUUGAUUGUAAACUAGCAUUCAAUUUUAUAAUGACUGGUUCGAUUGACCUCAAUUGAAUAUUUUGAUGAAAUGUAGCGAUAAGAAUGGCAGUAUCCAUGUAAAACUUGAGUUUAAAAAACUAUUAUCCCCUGUACAUUGAAAUCGAGAUGUGUGGGAGGUGAGGGAUGAGGGUGAGUGAAGUUUAAUCCAACGAUCCAUGAUGAAGAAGAGGGUGAUGAAUGAGAAAGGGGUAGGGCCAAAAUGCGCAUGCAAAUAAUGGUUGGAUUUCCAGACACACGAUGCAUGAUUCAGACCCAUCAAACAAGGAAGUUGAGGUGUCAGCGUCUCAUCUUACUACGACAUUCCACAGUCUAUGAUACCUACUCACCCAUUGCCUUGUGUAGGGACUCUGACUCCUUGAGAAUGACACGUCAACAAAAGGGUAAGGUGGACCCUCGCCUCCAUCUCAACAUUCACUUGCCUUGGUUUGUAACUUUAUGUAAAUUUCAAUAAUAAAGAUAUAGUUAUGUGGAUAUGAAUUACAUGCUUUCAAGAAACCAGGCCACUAAGAUCAACGCUUUCAUAAUUCAAAUUGACUAAACCCUCCCAACUUGCUUCUUUUCUUCACCAAACCAUGAAUUGAUUUUAUCUUUUGCUUAUUCUUUUCGUUUCAAGCCUCAUGCCCACUGACCUUUGAAUCCAGGCUUGGGCGUCUCCGCCGUUUUUACAAUUCUCUCUCUCUCUCUCUCUUUUUCUCCACUCAAUAUUGCUAGCUGUUGCAGAACUUGAUAUCAUGAAGGUUCUUGGCAAAGUUCUUGCCUUUGCCGUGCUUUUUGUGCUGAUUGUUCUUUGAAAAAUAGAGAGGCGGGUACGUUUCUUAGGGCAUAUAUUUAGUGUUGGUGAUGGCAACAAAUUUGCUUUUUUACAUAACUUUAUUGUUGGUGAGACAAAUCAAUCUGCUGCUGGUGAGCAACAGAUAGAUGAAGAGAUGGGUUGAUGGAUUUUCAGGAAGAAACUAUUCUGAGCCUCUUCACCAGGAUUCCUUUGAUGUCUGGGAAUCAAACACUUUGAGCCGCAUAUAAACACUGUAGAUGAUCGGUUGAAACAUGAUGUGUAUCACUACAUAUGCUGUUAUUGAAUUCAAAGAAACCAGGAUAUAUAAGUUAAUUAAGAGCAGCGGUUCUCUUCAACUCUGAAGGAUUGAAGUAUGAUAUAUGGAAUUGAAGGUUCCUCAACUCUGAAGGAUUAAACCAUGAUAUAUGGAAUUGAAGGUUCCUGUAUGUCUCUGAGAGAUGCAAUGACUGGAGCUGCUGGAGGAAAUACCUGCAAAAAAGUGAUAUGUAAAAUAUAAUGUAUAACUCCAUACUUAUUUAUUAGAACGGAAAAGGUGCAAGUAACAGAAAAGUUCAAAACAAGCACCACACUAUAUGUACAAACAUUGAAGAAAAGACACUCAUACUCGCUUGCUAUGAUGCCACAGUCUCCCCGUCUUUUAAUUAUUUUUCUUUUUGUUUUUUGUUUCUUGCCGAUGCGGGACUCUAUGAUAUAUUAACUAGGGAUGAUUGUGGGUUUGAUUUGAUUUAUUGAUUUAUUGAUGGAUUAAGGAUAAUUCCAGAGGCUGUGAUCUCCUGUAAAAUCCGCGGUGGCAUCUUCCCCUGCCAAAUCCAAGCGAGGAGGGCUGAGAAGCAUCCCUUCUGCCAUAUUCACAAGAAGAUUGGGCAUAUCGAAGAUCAAAUCCUCGUCAACAAACUCAUUAGCCAUUGAUCUGCCUAGUGCUAUUGGACUAAUGGUACUUCCACCCCCAGAUAGAGCAUCCACAGCGGCUCCAGCGGCCGCGGCCGCCGAGGCUGCGGCCACCUGGAUGUCACGUGGAGAGGUGGAUGCAGGAACAGGCAAGGAAGAAGCGGAGUUCGGAAAGUUAAGCUCAGCAUCUUGACCCUUAAGAGCAAGUGCAGCCACAUCAUAAGCCACUGCAGCCAUUUCCGGAGUUGGAAAUGUACCAAGCCAAAUGCGAUUGGGCUUCUUGGGCUCCCGAAUCUCCGACACCCAUUUCCCGCUGCUCCUACGCCUCACUCCGCGGUAAACAGGGUGGCGCCCGGUACCAGAGGAAGCAGCACCACCUCCAUUGACAGAGGCAUUGCUGCCACUGGCACCGCUGCCGCUUGAGUUGGAGUUAGUGGCGUACUUUGAAUAAUGCAUACUGUUGGAUAAAGAGAGAGGGAGAGCAAGAGGGAAUGGCGGGAAGGGUGGUUUUGAAGUUGGAAGUUGGAAGUUGGAAGUUGAAGGGGAGAGGAGGAGGCAUUUAUGGAGGAAGGAUUUGCAGAGUACAAUUGUCCUGCAGUUGAUAGAUUUCAAAGUGCAGAAGUGCAAACCAGUUGUUAAUGAACUGCGCUCUGUGAGGGUUGGGGUGUAAGCCAGCUUUGUGUUGGACAUCUGGGUUGGACUGCGUUUUUGCAGCCAAAAACUGCCUAUCUUAACGUCAAGAACAGUGAUGUUAUUAAGCAUUUACCAAUCUUGAGAGAGAUUUUUAUAUAAUUAAAUCGAGCAACAAUCCAUCAUCAAGAUCUCAAGGUCCCAUCCAAGAGAGAAUUUCUGUAUUGCGUCACUUUGCAUGUGUGGCCCACUGGUAGCCUAUGCUCCCAAUGUCUGCGCUUUGUUGCACUACAUGAGUUAUCACCAAUAGUACCAUCACCAUGCCCCACAUCACUGCUUUCUUUUUCUAUGCCCAUGCCCAUGCCUCUCCCUUCUCCCCUUUGCCCUUGCCCAAACCCUACUCCUCCCACUCUACGCAAUCUCCAAUCCCCUGUUUUAUUAAUUUACUCCUUAUCAUCCUACUCUCUUAGGUUUCCUUGCAUAUAUUAUCCUUCACUUAGGCCAGUAUUUCACUUUAUGUUAUAUCCUUAAUGUAUUCAUAUUCAUAUACCUAUUCUAUAGUUAAAAAAAAAAAAUUCUUCAUAGGAAAGUCACAUAUUUCAAAAUAUUAAUAUGUUGAAUAAAGUUAAUAAGCUUAAGAAUUAGUGUCAUAUAUAUUUAAAUGAAAAGCAAGUCUAAUUAAUUUUUCUUUAAAACAACCUAACUUAUACAAAUGUCAUCAUCCAAUUUAAUAAUAACUUUUAAGGUAUAAUAUUGUUGUUCUCAAAUUUAGGAUAUAAGUCGCUCGAACAAAGGCCCUUAAAAUAGGUUUUUAAGUAUGAUGUCUUAUUUGGCCUACCUCAUCGGACAUCAAUUAAUUUUUCGUUUAUGAAAUGGUCGAAGCUUCAUCCAAUAAUUGAUAUCAAAGCCAGUAUCAUGGGUUUAACUCAUUAAGCCCAAAAAAUGGAUUGCAGGCCAAUCUCUUCAUGGAUUGAAUAAUGUUUUAUGAACUGUUCUUUUCUUUUUUUGAGUGCGAUGCCAAGUCUGAUGGUUUGUAACUUCAGGAAUACUCAAUUUAAUGGUAGCGUGGACGGUGGAAGGGGUGAGUAGUGCGUGGAUCCAACCGUUAGAAUUACCGCCCAAAAAACAUUUUAUUUGCUGGGGACUGGGGAGAUUUCUGAGAUUGGGUUUAGGGUCCACUUUGUUAAGCGGAGGGCACGUACAAGUCCAGGACUAGAAUAUUUUUUGUUUUGCCACUGGCUGGCUCCGGAGUUAGAGUUGAUUUAACUGAGUUUGGACAUCCGAGUAAGCCCACGAAGUUGCGUAAAGAAGUUCAUAACAAUGGCUACCUACCCACUCCCAAGAAUUCAGUAUCAUGUCUAGCUAGCUAAGCCUGAUUUUAAGUGUCGUUUUGAAGUGCAUGAAAUUCCUACAUGAUCGCCCCCUUGACUAAACUGCCCGGGAUAAAAACACCCACUUGUAAGCAACUAAUGUCGGGACCAACUCCACAGUGAAAUAUUAUUAAAUUACUUCAAUGGGGCUUUCUCUUUCAAGGCUGCUAACCUCUUUAUCUUUUCUUUUCUUUUUUUUAUUAAUAAUAUCUGUUUUUUCAUUAGUAAUUCUGGCAAGUGGGUCACGGUAUCUAUGGACAUGGGGGUCCUCAUUCUUGGGACAUCUUUCUAUUUUCAGGGAUGAAGAUUUGGUAGGACACCAUGUAAGGGUAUUUCUACCAAUGAAACCAUGAGUCGACAACAUGUUAUCAUACGCCUUUUUGGAUAAUUAUAUAUCCAAUGUUGAUCCCCGACAGUCGACUGCAUGGUAUGCUUCAGGGUUAUUCACUUGCUAUAUCACCUGAAAAUUUGUCUCACAACACUCCAUCCCAUUAUCUUAUGUUUUCCUUAAUAUUUUAAGCCUAGUAAUCCCAUCAAAGCCAUCCGCAGUGGGCUGGUUAGUUUGCAGGGGUUCUUUGUCAAUUUCACAAAACAAAUAUCUACCGACAUGAAAUUGGAAGGCUAUGGGGCUCUUACAAAUGAAGUUAGUUCAACCAUGCUUUUGUCAAAGCACCUAAGUGUAACCCAAUAUAUAUGUAUACAUAAAAGGAAACAUGCCUUUGAUUUUCAAUGAAAUAGACUUGAAACAAAUAAACACAGGAAGGUCUUUUUCAUUGUUGAUACUUGAUACCUACCUUAGCUAGGAAGCACUGUGGCAGGAAUGUUGAUACAACAAAUAUUUCAAUUUUAAAGCUUUCUUAGUUAAAAGAUUCACUCGAUCGUUACUCCCUUUGGAUUUCCAUUUAUUAAAUGAUGUAAUAUACUAUGAAUAAACAUUUAAGCCAGCAAUUAAUACCAUAUUUACUCAUUUCUUAAUAAUUUGAAAUUUUGUAUUUACUCCUUAGAAAACAACAAAAACAAAUGAUAAUUAUCUGCUUGGGAUAUUUUGUGUUGUGAUGACUGAGCUUUGCAGGUUAGUUGCAAGUGUUUAGAGAAAGCUAUACAUGUAGAUAGAUUGAAAUCAUAUUCUUACUUUCAAGAUUUUGAUUGAAAUCGUAUUGUUGCUUUCACAAUUCCAAUUUAUAUAUAAUAAUUUUGUUUGGAAGGUUAAUUUAGAAAGUUUUUAAAUAUUAGAAUUAAAUUUAAUUUCUACAAGUUAAGAAGAAUAUUUUAUUUUAAUUUAUAUUUUUUAGUAGUUAAUAUGUAAAAUAUUUUUAUAUUUUAUUAUUAGGAGCUUUUAUUUAAUUAAAUACAAGCAUGCAUAAAUAAGAAAUCAUAUAAUAUAAGAAAAAAAGGUUCAUAAAAUAUAGUAUAUUUUGAAUUCUUUUGAAUUUUAUUAUUAUUACUAUUAUUUUUGUAAGUAUUUUUAUUUCUCUAUUAACAUUAUUACUUCAAAUUUCAAGUUAAAGGCUUCCAUUCAUAAUAUUUAGCAUAUGUUUGAGAGUGAUUUUUAAAAGUGUUUUUAAUUUUUUUAAUAUUUGAAAAAUAAAAAUUUUAAAAUCGCUUCCUACAAUCACUGUUAAACGAAUGCGAUGAAAGGAAAGAGAUUAUGUUAAUAUGGAAGGAGUAUAAUAACUUAGUUUGAAGGAUUGCGUGAACUAUAGUCCUAAAAAUAUUUAAGGCCAAUUAUUCUAACUCUGACCAUGCAUAAAUUUUUUUAAAAAUUCAGUAAAUAUUGGGUAGUUAUUUAAAAAACCCUAGGAAGGACUAGUCAGUAUUUCGUUUUAUUUUUUCCCAUUUUAUUUCCCACUCCGUGUAAGCCAAGACGGUUUUGGUAAUGGAAACCAAGGGAGAGAAGCGAGAGGCAAGAGCCCAAGAAGUAAUUAAUUGUAUGAGUUUAAUUAAAGUAAUUAAAAUAAUAAAAGAAAACAAAGAAGGAAAGGAGAUGAUAUCGAAGAAGAAAAUGGCGGUGAAAUGGAGGACUAGGGGGAGUUGAUUUGACUGUGUUCAAAGUCCAGCUGUAGAUACAAGCACCCUAUACAAUUGCAGUAAUAUUCAGAAACGGAAAUGAGUGAGAGGGUGUGAACAGUGGAGAACGAAAAGGGGAGGAAAAGAGACGGUGUACAAGGCGGCUUCGUAGUUGAAUAAGCGCGGAGUUGAAAGAGUGGUUCGCCGUCUUGCGCCACCAACCCAGUGGGACGGAGAAAUCCACGCUUUGAAAGGGACAACUGACGAGGGGAGGCAAAACCCAGAAGACAAAAUAUCAGGGAUUUGGAGUUAUUAGAGGAGUCGGUCUGUAAAGCGCUGAGCAAAUAGGCAUCUCAUUCCUGUAAGCGUGUUGCCGCGUUCUACCUUCGUCUGCGUUGCAGAAGCAUAUCACGUUCGCAGGCAGCCGCUCAGGAAACCCACUUACAUGCGCCUCCGUCUCGUCAGGGCCCAGCCGCAUUCCUCCCUAGGCCUUACUCCUAACUUACACGUCUUAACUCUUUUAUGUUUGGGCUUACUCUAUUUCCACCUAACGUUUCUUUUGCUGGGCUUGGCCCAAUUUCAUGGACGUCCCCUUCGCUCCGCUCCAAACUCACACAUUUAACUCUUUCUUUAUCUUCAUGUUUUUUUUUUUGUUUUUUCUUCUUCUUCUUCUUCCUUUUUUUUAUUUUAUUUUUAUUUUUAUUUUUAUUUAUUUUUAACUUUUUGCUUCUUAAAAUUACCUUCAUCUCCUGUGAGAAUAUAUUUUUCUAACGAAAUUCUAAUUCCAAAAUCAUUCCUAAUGGUAUUUUUUUAAAAAUAAAUAAAUAAAGUGUAAUAGGACAAAAAUAUUUUUAAAAACUUUGAUUAAUUUUUUAUUUUUUUCAAUGUAAAAAGAUUAAAUCAAGUUUUAUUUUACAUAAGAAGAUGAAUUAUUAGCAUUUUAAUAUAAUUACUAAAGUAUUCUUAUUUUAAUAUUUUUAUAAAUUAAAAAGAAAUAAUUAAUGAGACAUAAUCUUUACCUUUUAUUAAGAUAAUAAGAAUAUAAUAUAAUAUUUUUAUUAAUUAAUUUUAAUAAAAAUUUAAAAUAUAAUAAUUUUUUAUGUGAAAUAAAUAGUAUUGAUAUAUAUAUCAACAGUUAGAUUUUAAGAAUAUAUUAGGAUAUAUAGGUGGAAAUUAUGAUAAUAAAUAUUGAUGAAUAAAAAAUUAAAUACUAUCAACAAUUUCAAGAGUUUCAUUAAAAAAAUUGUGUAAAAUAUUUUAUUUCAAGUUAAUUUCUAGAAUUUUAUUAAAAAAAACUGAUGAUUUUUUUUUUUUUUUUUGUGUAUAGAAUUAAAAAUGUUGUAUUGGCUGUUACUUUAUUUAAAUAGUGAAAUAAAUUGGUGAAGAUGUACUUGUUGUUACCGCUUAUAAUGGAAGAUUUUGGUUGUUGAACAGUAGAAGUCUUGACAUUUAAAUCUCUUUGGACGGAUUAAAUUUCACUUUCAAUCCUCCAUCAUGGCUUUUUAAUCUAACUAAAUAGAGAAAGCUUAAGUUUUCCCAUAGAUGGCACCAAUGAAAGAUGCUCAAAAUCUUCUAGGAUAACUAGAAACUCUUGUAAAAAUUCUCAUAAAGGUCCUCCUUCUUGUAAGAAAUUCCUUCUAUAGUUGGAUUGCUUUAGAAUUGCCUAAAUGAUAGCAAAAAGGGAUGAAAUAAAAUCCCAAAUCAAAAUCUAGCUAGAGCCAUCUCGAUCCUCUUCACCUUGGUACAUCUAGGAUAAAGAGGCAACUAGGCCAAAGUUGCCGAUAGUAGGUGGGCUCAUGGGGUAUAACUCGGAUACAAGUGACUAUAAAACAAUGGCACUUCAUAGUGGAGAUGCCUAUCUUUCAGAACAAAGUAGAGUUUCAAAAAAUAUAUGUAUAUAUUAAAAUAUAUAAUAAAAUAAUAAUAAUAAUAUUUGUUAUAUUUGAUUAUAAUAAGGUUUGGAUUUAAUAGUUAUAUUUAAGUAUUAUAAGUAAGAAGAUCUUCUUGGAGCCAUCAAAAAAGAAUAUAUAUAUAUAUAUAUAUAUAUAUAUAUAUAUAUAUAUAUAUAUAUAUAUAUAUAUAUAUAGAGAGAGAGAGAGAGAGAGAGAGAGAGAGAGAGAGAGAGAGAGAGAGAGAGAGAGAGAGAGAGAGAGAGAGAGAGAGAGAGAGAGGAUUUUAAGAAAAGGUUUAUCAACUUUAUUAUUAAAAUAUUUUAUGUAAAAAGAUGAGUAUUUUAAACUAGGAUUAUAUAUUUUUGUUAAAGCACUAAAAAUUUUCACCCAAGUUUUACAUAUUUAUAAUUUGGUUGAAAAUUAAUUUGAAAAUAGAAAGAUCUAUCAGGUAUAAAAUACUACCUUGAACCUCAAGUUUUUCAUGCAAAUCUUUCAAAGUUUUUUUAAAGUAUUAUUGACUUAACGGAAGUAAUUUAACUUUAAAAUUUGUCAAACUAUUGAUUAAAACAUUGAUAAAAAGUGUUCACACAUUUAUAUGAAUUAGUUAAAAAAUGUUUUAACCCCAAAAUAUACGACUUUCCAAAAAUAUUGGGUUAGAGCACAUACAGUGACUAGACGAUCAUCUAGAUGUUAUGCAGAUAUCCAAACAUUCAUCCAAUUAUCAUGUGGAUGUCUAUGUGAUUGUUCACUUACUUUAUUUGUAAUUGUAGCUCUUAAAAAUAAUGUAGACAACAAUUGCAUAUCCAUAUCUAUCUUUUAGCUUUUAACAACUCACUACACCUCAUUAAAUGUUCAACGGCUAGUAUGCAAACAUCUUGCUAUGAAAGACUUAUUUCUAAUGGUUAGUUUGACCUUUUAACUCUUAUAUAAAUGUUCUAAACCUUUAGGUGUGAGUUUUAAUGAACGAGGCGCACUCUAAUUAACAUAUAUAAUCUUAUAUAAUACGCUUGGAAAUGCAUGCCUCUAUUGCUUCUUCUUCUACUAUUUAUCUUCUUUUUCUACUCAAUGGUAGCCAACAUGCAUAAGAUAGGAGAAGGCCUAACUUGGGGUUGGGCCAAUUUUAUUUUAUUUUUUAAAUUAUUUUGAUAGGUAAAAAUGUAAUGUUUUAAGCUACAAAAUUUUAAAGAGAAAAAGGAAAAAAUGACAUUGUUUUGCCCUCCAAAAAAAUAGGACUAAAUGAUGUUUUGCUCAUUUUCUCUUUAAAAUUUUACAACUUAAAACACCACAUUUUUUUUUAAAGGGCCCAACCAAAUUAGGGCUUUCGACUGCAACUUGUUCAUGGUUUGUGGAGGACGAAGAAGAAAAAAAAAGAAGAGAGAAGAAAAGACAUAUCUCCUUGGGAUUUUGCAUAACCUUGUGCCUAUGUCUUUUACAAUUGCGAAUAAGCAAAGAGUUCCAAAAUGCUAUACAAUUAUCUCUUAAGCUUUAGGAAAAUAUUUAUAUGAAUUUGAACUUGCAUUUUAUUCUUAGUUUACCUAAUAAAUCCUUUUAUUCUUAUUAUUCUUUAGCAAAAAUCUAUAAACUAAUCAAAAUUUUAUUUUUUGUAAAUCUUGUGAGAUGAGCUCAAAUAUGAGGUAUCACUUGAGAAAAAUAUCUAAUUAUGAAGUAUCACUUAGUGUUUGAUAAGUAUUAACGAAAGAGAAACAUCUCUUCAAAAAAAUUAUAAAUAUUAAUUGUAGUUUAUUAAUCUAAGUGUAAAGUUUGAAGUUUUGAUUUAAAAACUUUAAUAUAAAUGGAAUCUCAAACUUAAGAUUGACGUUACGGAAGAGUGGAUGUGGGUCGAGAUUGAGUCUAUGUCCAUUGAUGCAUGAUUGCUCGAUCCAAGCUUAUUGGCUUGCCCCUAUAGGACUAUGUAGCAAUCCUUGAAAUUGAUAAUUCAAAAGCCUUGCCAAUACUGACCACUGAUUAAAAUAUCGAGAUAUUUCGACGAAAUAUCGGUGUAUCGGUACAUAUGGAUACAAUAUUUUCAAUCGAAAUAUCGUCGAUUAAUGUGAAACAUUGACCAAGUCAAAACAACUCAAAAAUGAUUUGUUCCAGUUUAAAAUGUCAUACAUAUUGACCAAGUCAAAAUAGCUCAAAAAUGGGUUGUUGCGGUUUAAAAAGGUUGGGGCCAACAUUCACCAACUAUUAUGGCAAGUUUGCCCUUUGUUACUUGCUAUGCACCAUCAAUUUUAGGACAAUCGAUAUUUUGUAUUAAAAUAUUUAUCGAUAUAUUUUCGAUAUAUCCAUAAAAUCAAAUUAUCAAUACUAAUUAACAAUAUUUUUAUCCUCGACACCCUUUUAGUAAGAGAGUCCCUAGGACUAGGGUCAACCCUAAGAUGGGCAUCGCUCUUAUAGGCGAACCAAACCCAUGACUAGAUACAAAGUGAGGAUUCCUAGAAAGAGUAUUGGUACCCUUGUGCCAUACCUAUGGACCGGACUGUUUAGACCUUAAUAGAAGCCCAAGCCCACGAAUCCCAAGUAAGUAUAUCUAGGUACGCCCUAGCCUAUAAAAAAACGUUUAGGGAUACCAAGGCCACGACACCUAGGCGAGCCAGAAGCGAGGUCUCGCCCAAAAAGAUUGCACCAGUUGGCGCGCUUGGAGAAAAAAUAUAUGACCAAAAAGUUGACGGUUAUAAUAAGCAAGACUGCAAGAACUAGCCCCUCCAACUCAGAGGGGAAAAAGUCUUGAUCAACCAAUGGAUGUUUUGACACGAUUACAUGCCCCCUAAAAGGCUCUAGUUUCAUAAUUAGCGGCACCUCCAUGAGAUAUUCGUAUGCUGACACAAUUGCCACCGACCCAAUCAGGGUUGAGAUUACAUAUAAAAGGCAUUUAGGCCAGGGUAAGGAUGUUCCUCUCCCCGCACGUUUUUCAACCUUCAUCCUUUGAGCCUUGCUCCAAUCAAUUCUCAUUGGUUUUCUUCCUUCCUAUAGCACUUCCAUUAAGUGGAGCCUGGAAGAGGCAUUAGUUGAGGACACCCAACCAUAUUAUCCGUCGGAGUUUACCUCGGUGCAGAUGGACGAUUCGUGUGGUCAUCAGGUACCGUUUGGGUGUGGAGUUGCGCUCACCCAUUAAUCAACCAAAACCAACAAUUUUCAUCUUGGAUUCUGAGUGUUGAAUGCAUGUUUUGAAAAACACAAUUGAAGAAACGGUUGUGUAUCAGGAUAGAAGUUAUGAUAGAGGGUUUUGAAUCAUUACAGUGAAGGUGAUGAAUUCGGUAUAGUGUCUUCUAUCACUAUCUGUUCUUGACCCCAUGUGGCCUUCUUUUGCAGACAUAGUUAGGGGCAUCGAAGCUGUCUUUUUCUGGCUGUUCAGUGCACGAGGAGUGUCCAUCUUAUCGCUGUUUUACCUGCUCAUAUUUCAUUGGGGGAAUUUGGCUUGUAUUCUUAUGAUCUUCUGAUUCAAACGGAUGGGUCAAACCAGACAUAUUCCUAAUUACCUGGAAGCGAGAGAGUCAAAGAGCCCAGGCAAGUGGCAUAAGAAAAUACAAUUCAUACUACUACAUUAAGCUAUCUCCAUUUAUGCUCUGUCCAAAACAUCCUUGUUGCUUUGAACUCACAUUUAUAACUGCUGUCAUGUAGUCCCAUUUGUUCAACUUUGCCUUUGCUACUUUUGAUUGACCUUUUUAACUGCUCCUGUGCUGUGCCAGAUCCCCACGUGGAUAGUGAAGCAUCGUCCUUGUAGCAAUAAAGCCAAGAAUGUGAUGUGACUGGCCUUUUUUUUUUUACCCCUUUUUUUUGCUUAGUUUCUCAAUUUCAAUGUGUCUUGGCAGUGCAGUCUAUUGAGACUUCCUUUUCCUGCUGUUGAACCCUUUGAAUGGUAAUUUUUCCUUCUCAUGUUCUCUUUUCAAUUCUUUGGUUGCGGGACCAUGGUGGUAAUUCUAUUCGGUUUUUUCAUAUAACUAAUGGAUUUGUUGUACUGAAUUGCAAAUGGAAAACGCCCGUCAGAAAAAUAUUAUACAUUUACACCUUGGCGUAAUGUGGUUUUGAUUGUUUAUGUUCUAUUCUCUCCGAAUUUAUUUGUAUUUUUCGGGAUCAAUUCUCAGGUAUCUGCAUAAGAUACAGAGAUGAACAUCCAAAUUUUACAUGGCAUCCACAUUGCUUCUGGGCAAACACCCACAGAAAUCACCCAUUGCCUACGAGCAUGAUGUACAUGGAGAGAAAGCAAGAUUCAUUUCCAAGAAAAACAAGUCUCUAGCAUCUCAUUGAAUGGCUGCACCAUAGUUGAAGCUUUCUCUUGAGACAUAAUAAUAUUCCAAGCCAGCAGCCUGCCUCAUUGACCAUUCAAAUUGUCGGUCGAACUGCCUUUGCCUGCAUUCUUUAGGAUCCCAAAUUCCUAUGAAAAAAUGGGGCCAUAUUUUGAUGACAUAACCUACAUUGACCCAAAAUCACACCUUGGAAAUAUUAUCUUCAUAUCAAAGUAUGGUUUUCAUGCAUUUAGUUAGACAGGAAUUUUAGGUGGCAGUUCCCUUCCUGAGGAGAACUCCUGAAAGAGAGACCUCGUUACAGCCUUCAAAAUUUUAUCCAUCUUUGAGAACACCUUGGUCCAAACAAACAUUGUUUCUCAAUCUCGUAAUUUUAUCUCCUCACAAGUAAUAAUUAAACCAACAAAAGGGAACUUUCUACAUUUUUUUUUCAGUCACUUGGAGCCGGACAUAACAAAAACUUGAACCUCUCCAUAACAUUCCUCAGAGGCUAGUUCGAGUGGAAUCAUGCCUUUCUAAAAAAUAUACUCAUAAUUAUAUUGGUACCCUAACUUAAUCCUAUGUUUAAUUGGGUCUCCGAUCUCCAUCUGCGAGUGAUUGUCAUUUUGCAAUAAUAGUGAUAGCGAAGAUAGACUGCAAGUAAAAAGAAGCUUUGGUAGGUUUGUGAUCUAGAAGUCCUAAUGAUUGGCUUUCGGGCAGUUAGAAGCACUUAUUUUCCAUUGAUGAGUUUCUCUAUUUUCUACAUGAUCAAAUAGAAAUAAAUGCUAUUUUAAUUGUCCUACAGUUACCUCCUGUUUCCCCUGUCCUGGUCUCCAUGACUGGUUGGCAUAUUGCUUACUGAAUGACUGGUUGACGUGACUCUUUUUGUCCUGCAACCACAACCUUUUUUGUCAUUUGGUUAACCCAAGUCAAGGAACCUUUAUCCCUGUCAAAUGGGUCAGUUUCACAAUUACCCUCCAGCCAACAUUCAGGUCCCCUUAAGAGUGCAAUUCAUAGAGAAUUUUAGACACAUUAACUAAUGGCCACUGAACGCUCAGAUUGACUGGCAACUGUCCGUAAUAGUUGAAAAAGGAGCAAGUGCUUGAAUUAGUGAGAGCAAUUUCACCAUGUCACUUCAUUGAGGGCCUCUUUUUUCUCUGUCUUUCCCUUAAAAUUCCCAUGUAUUUUUCCCCCUCCAUACUCAUUUCUAUUUUCGUUGAUCCUUAAAACAUCUUCAACCUAGAAUUUAUUGCGCGUUCACUAGUUUUUGACGUAUAUGACAAAAUCAUAUCUACAAAUUGGGUUAUUUCUUAGCAGCAGGUACUAUAUUACUUCCUGAUUAAUGUUUCUAUUUCUAAUACUACACUUGUCUUGCCCUUCAUUUUGUCUGCACCUUCAUUUAGGUUGUGUCCGAGUAUGUUGAAAACAUGAUCUCUUUUGCAACUACCAUAUAAAAUGCUUUCUAUUUUUACAGAACUAUGUUGAUCUCACAACUCUCAUGAAAGUGCAUCUCCAAUGGAGGGAGCACCCAUUUGAUUUAUCAUGUCUCUCUUCCUGGGGCCUGGGGCCAUGUUCAUUCAGUUGCCUGACAUCAUGUUUUUCAUUGCUAAAUCCCCAUAUAUAGUCUUUGGCUUUCAUCUGGAUACGAUGGUACAGUUUUUUGAGAUAAAGACAAGGGCAUUCCAAAAGUCCAUUUGUUUUAAUUUUCUGGUGGAAUGACACUGAAUGUUAUUGUAUAUGAUUGAUUUAGAAUCGCCUAGAUGAUAUUAUUGGCUAGAGUUGUUACUUAUGGUUCAAAAUGUGCUUGGCCGCUCUGGGCUUCAUCCGUAAGGCCCAAAGCCUGUCUGAUCCGACCCUGACCACUGCCUGCUUGAAAAUAUCAGGCUGAGCUUGGUGUACUGAAUCUCAACGGAAAAAGGCAGGGAAUUUUAGGGCUGCCAAUGAAAGAACCAAGCUGAAGAAUUGGUUUUUCUGAGCUUGGCUACCAGAAUUAAUGAGCUUCAAAAUAAAAUGGAGCUCAACUUAUUUUCAAGGGAAUAAUUAUUCUUAAAGAGGAUCUGAACGCCCUCUGUUUGACUGAAAAUUUUUAUUAGGUCAAAAAUGGAGAGAUACUAUUUACUUAUUUCUUUUAUGGUUUUGAAUUUCUUUGUUGGAUAAAGUGGGUUUUUAAAUGGCUUUUGCAUUUAUGCCAUUCCCAUGGUCUUUUGGUUUUGUUUCACCCCUUCUGUUACAGGAGAGACCUACCACUUUUCAUGAGUCAUGAGCUUAUGAUAUGUUCCUCAAUUUCACUCCUAUGUAACCAAUACCAGGUCCGCUGUGCUGAUUUUGAUUUAGUGCCAUACCAAUCCAAACCCAUACACCUCCAACCCCACCACUUACCCAGUUUCAAAUCAAUAUGGGGAGUGGGAUUCUUAUGCUCUCUAUUUUGUUCUUAUUUGGCUUGGCCGGCUGGCAAUGGAUACUGUACUGCCAGGUCCAGCCAGGAUAAAAUCCCCCUUUUAGGCUUUGGAUCUCAAAACAAUGGGGGAAAGGAUAAAAAGCAAAUGAAAGUCAAUACUUUUCUGUUUGAUUGGGAUGAAAAUUAAGGUGAAAAAGUAUGCAUGGCAGAGGCUGAUUGGGGAGGGGAAAUUACUAUACAUUUUGAGACCCACCUUUUUUUUUUAAAUAAUAAUAAUAAUAAUAAUAAAAGAAAAACCCAAGUAAUGAAAAUUGAAGAAAUGGUGGAGGGAAAUUUUGUUAGGGUCAAAAAUGUAUUUUGGUUUUACUUAAUGUUGAUUACUGUUUUCUGUCUCUAAUCCUUAUUAUGAUACUUUUUGAAAACCAAAAUCAUUCUUCAUAUUUUUCUUCUUCUCUCAGUGAUGACAAGAAGCUUAUUACACUGAAAUAUUAUUGGAAAAAGGGCGUAAUAUCCAGCAAAUGUGGUUGAAUUGACCGGUUUUUGUGCUCAAAUUAGUGACGAACACCUGUCUGCAUUGGAUAGGAUUUGAUGAUUCGAACAAAGAUACUUUACCAAUAAAAAGAUACUCCUUUCAUUAGUACUUAAAAACUUUCUUAACUUUCUUAUGUAUCAUGAUUAAGCUUUUUUAGGUUGACAACUCACUCUCAUAUAUCGAUGAGACAACUUUUAAAAAUGCAAUCAACCAAAAAGGGAGGCCUGGUUGGAAAGCUCGGCGGUUUAUGCCCUUGUGUUUUCCGGCCAGUAAUCAAAUCCCGGUUUGACUACUCCUGUCCUCUCCACUGUCUCUUUACUUAGUGCAUCCAUUGGCUUCGCUCGACACCCUCUUUUUUCAUAUCCCAUAACCACUUGCCCAGACCCUUUAUUUCAUGUUAUAAUUAUUGAACAAUCCCCUCUUUGAGAGGCAUCAUUUUCAUGCAUAUGGGGUCAGAACCCCCAUCAUCAAACCUUGGUCCCACAAUGGAUCUCGAUGAAUUGUGAUCCUCCAUCAUCGGAUGGUGACAACCAUUCAUCAAUUGAAUUUUAAAGAUAACGAGUGAUUGCAGUCCUUGAAAAAUAAGCUUAGCUUUUUUACUCGGCUGGUAUCCAGAAUUCCUGCUGAUGGACUCUUUAUGAGUUGCUUUAAAUUUAGAGACCUUUCAUCUGUUUGUCCCAUAAAUCUUAGAGCGGCCCACCCCCCUGCAAUUGCAUGUCAUAUGUCAUAAAAUUGACAUACAUUCUUGGUAUAAACCUAAACUUAACAUAACAUAACAAUUGAUAACAUUUUUUGCAAUUUUUACACAUGAUAAUAAUUGCAGAGGCUCAACUUUGGGGCCAUCACAAAAUUCACACAUAAAGCAUUUAUGGGGAUUUUAUCAGGAGCAACAGUUUUAUGUGUUGCUUUGGGUGCAGAAUAGAACUGUGCAGUAGUACCAUUGCUUCGCUGUACAGGUGCCGUCUGCCAUUCAUGUGGACAUGGUUUUGGUUCGGACUCCCACAUUUAAUACUACUACUCAGGUCUUGGAAGGUAAAUGAUUUCACCGUUCACUUCAAUAGUGGAUGCUUACAAACCAUCUCUGAGAGCUAAGUGCAAUUUGGCAGGACGAGGGUAUAUAUGAUGGUGUCUAUGUAUAUGUGCCAUUUUGUUUUUGCCACAUCUCGCAUAUAGAGUGAAGGUAAAAAGGAAAAUUGGGGGCAAGAAAAUGAUUCACUUAUUUCUAUUUUUGUAAUUUGAAUUUUUAUUUUUUUGGUUGAAGACUUGGAAGCGGGGGUGGGAUUAUUUACAGGUGCAAGACAUGUCUGCAACCAGAAACUUGAUAUUGCCGCGUAGCGUAGAAUGAAAAAGGGGAAGGGGGCUAGUUAAAUAUUAUGACAUAAUGAGAGAAUCUGAAGAAAGGAGUUGUCCAUGGGAUUGCAAUGAAAACUUUUCAUCAAUUCCAUUUCCAUCUAAUCCAUCCAUCCGUCCAUUCGAAAACUCAACUCUCAUCAGGAAAUGAUAGCCAGCUAACCGACCUCGGACCCCACCCACCCUGUAAUAUUGACUGUGAAAGACAAAACCUCACCUUGCUAAAGGGCCUCACCUUCUCUUACUAAUAAUUCAGUUUUUAAAGGAUGCCACGUCAGGAGGGGGGUAGGGGGGGACUGGGGAGUAGGGUGGGGGGGUGCAGAGGUGUUGUGUAGCAGGGGUUGGCAGGGGGAAGCAGGAGGAGCAGAAGCAGCAGCAGCACCUGAUCAGCGUGGAUUAUGGGCCACUCGUGCAUCUUUUGUUGCAUGGAUGGAACGUUCUGCUCUUCCUCCUUCAAAAGCAAGCUAUCAGAUCUGAUUUCAGUCCAUCCCCUCCCUCAGUCCCACUCAGAUUCUUCUCUCUAUUACCCCUUCCCCCACUCUUACCCCCCUCUGUUCCCUCUGCCCCUCGGUUCCGAUCCCCAUACCCAUCCUUACCACCCUCGCACCUAAUUAUCUCUUCAUCAUCACUCUCAUCAUUCUUUUUUUUAUUCAUAAUUUACUAUGUUUAGGCUCCCACUUUUUCUUUUUCUUUUUUCUUUUCUUUUCAUUUUAUUUAUUUUUUUUUUAAAAAAAUAAUAAUUAUAAAUAGAAAUUUGCAUGCUGUUAUUAAAAUAGAAUAGACAAACAGGGUAAAAGAAGACGCACACUGCAUACCCCUUUAGCGUAGCGAGAAAAAAGGAUUACGGAAUUAAAAGCUGAAAAGAACACGAGAAGUACUGCAGCCGUGAUAAAUGGAAAAGCCUAACAUGUAGUAUUUUAUAGUACAACUCACUGUCACCCGUACGGACCGGGACCUAUGCAUGCAUCACCGUCAAUUCCCUGCGAUCACAUGUAGCAGAUUCAACCCUUCUCUUCAUCUUCAUUAUUCACCAAUUCACCAAUUCACCAAUUCACCAAUUCAUUCUUAUAUACUAUUUCUUUCUGUCUCUUUACCCAUAAUUAUCCCUCUUUUUUGUAUUAUGUGAUUGGCAUAACCAUUUCUAUCCGCUGGCGGGAGGGUUUGUUAUUUGUUUAGGGUCUUCUCUUACCCAAAACAACUAUUAUCAUAGCCAUACAGCACCAGUCUGUAGUCUUCCUUGAUUAGCUUUGUCUUUUGCUGAAAAUUGAGGCAUUAAAACAUAAGAGAUAGUAACAAUUCUAAUUCACCCCCAAACCCUCCUUAAAAUUGGAGAAACCUGACUUUUGAACUCUUUAAAGCAGAGGGAUGACAUUUUAAUAUGGUUGACCUUGACCCAAGGUUUUGGAUGACAUAGAAGGCAGAUUGAGGUUCAUUAAAAGGAGAUAUGUACCCAAAGGACAUCCCUUUAAUCAAAAGGAUGUCCCAUGUUUUCAAAACUGUUUAUACAGGUAAUGCAUAGCAUAUACCCUAAAAUCAAUCCAAUGCACCAUGCUUUACAAAACAGAAGCAGCAUGUUCUCAGAGUUAAUGAAUUUGGUCCGGGUGAACUGUGUUGGUUGCUAGAGAGGUGAAAUAGUCCCAAACGGUGUAAUAUGAAUAUUUAGGAGUUUACCCCUCUCGUUUCUUCCUAUAGCCCAUACGUAUAUGAAUAUUUAGGAAAGAGGCUUUUUAGGCCAAGUUUGAUCCCAUUCCUCAGAAGGCAACCAUCAAGUUAGGUUAUGGUAGGGUGUUUGAAUGGCGUGGCAAGCAGUGAUGGGAUGAUUUGGUGGGGAAGAUGUGAUUGAUUCCAUAUUGGAUGGUAUACGUAGAGAUAUAUUGGAUAUCUGGAGACUGGAUACAAGGAUAGAGAUAGAGCAGGAUGUAGAUAGGGAGGGAAGGAGGGAGAGGACGGUCAAAAAGGAAGGAUCCUAGGCACUGUACACGCGUCAGCAAGGCACCACUCCUUGUACUCAAUUCGUCGUCUUCUUUGCGACACGUGUCUCGGGUUUAUUAGUCACUACGUCUACCUUGGCUACCGUCUCCAAUCCUGUGUUGUGUUUUAAGGAGAGGAGGAGUAUGUUAAAUUUUAAAAUAAUAAUAAUUAAAAAAAAUAAAAAUAAAAAUAAAAAAAAGGAAAAAACAAAGCAAGAGCGAGUUGUAGGAGAGUAGCAGUAGACUUUUGAACAAAAAAAUGGGACCAAUGUCCUGGGCAUAAAUUGGAGGUUUUUCGUGGACGACACGAUCCGAGUCUAGCGCUCCUCCAUCUUUUCUCUCUCUGUUAAAAGGAAAAAAGCUCUCAUCUUUUUUUAGCCAUUAGUCUUCAUAUGGCAAUGGAAGAUCAUCAUCACUAUGGCAUGGCUGAUCUACGCCAGUUCAUGAACACCAGACCCCAUUUUCCGCCUAUUCCACACCACCCAGACCUCUUCCCCGCCCAUCAUCACCACCGAACUCUCACUCCAGCUCAACCUUACGACUUGAUGAUGGUGGGUCGUCAAGUUACUCAUGACAUGAUGUCUCGAGGCCUUCAUGAUUUUGUUACUGAUUCUGCCGCUCCUCCUCCUACUACUACUGCGACCAACACCAACACUGUUGUGCCUACUUCCAAUGCCACUCUCACUGGCUUAGAUGCCGACGCCGCUUGCCUGGGAGGCGAUGCCUCCACCGGAAGGUGGCCCAGACAAGAAACCCUCACCCUUCUUGAAAUCAGAUCUCGUCUUGAUUCAAAAUUCAAGGAGGCAAAUCAAAAGGGUCCAUUGUGGGAUGAGGUUUCAAGGUAUACCCUAAUUCAACUUAUUAGAUUUUUUUUUUCUUUAAAUUUUUGUGUCGGUUGAGGUUUUUUUUUUUUCUUCAUCUUUUAUUCAAACUUCUUUUUUCUUCAUCUUUAGUUUCAACUUUUCAGUUCACUGGUUUUGAGUAAGAAAAAGUUGAUUUUUUGGUACAAAAAAUUGCUGAAUAUCUACUGCACUUAGUCCAUCUUACACCCGUCGAGUUCAGUCUUCACUUUCUAUGCAAAAAGAAUAGGUUGCCUUUUGUAUGCUAAGCUACACAUUUACUGUGAAAUAUCUACAGAAGCCCCAAACAAUCAUCCUUGUUUUGAUAGUUGCUAAGCAACAAAAGCACAUAAUAUUAAUUGUGCCUCUAUGAAAUCCUUUGUGGCUGCUUUAUAUUAUUUUCUUAAUUAGUUGGUUACUUCAUUGAUUUGUCUUAUUUUUAUUUAUUUAUUUUUUUUUUCUGUUGUAGGAUAAUGUCCGAAGAACACGGCUACCAAAGGAGUGGAAAGAAAUGCAGAGAAAAGUUUGAGAACUUAUAUAAAUAUUACAAGAAGACCAAGGAAGGGAAGGCUGGAAGGCAAGAUGGUAAGCACUAUAGAUUCUUCCGACAGCUUGAAGCCCUCUAUGGAGACACCAGUAAUGCGGUCUCAGUCCCAGAAAAUCACCUUGCUGGAAGUAGUCUCACAUUCCAUACUGCAACCAACCUUAACAUAGCCACACAGAAUCAAGAAAUCUUUCAAACCCCGAAGCUUUGUGAUAGUCUUAGCCUCUCUAACUCCUCUGACUUUGAUACUUCCUCUUCUGAAGAUGAUGAUCACAAUAAUACUGGGCCGACGGAGAAUGGUUCAACCGACAAGAAAAACAGGAGGAGUCGAAGGAGCUGGAAAGUGAAGAUUAAGGACUUUAUUGACUCACAGAUGAGGAAGCUCAUGGAGAAACAAGAGGCAUGGUUGGAGAAAAUGCUGAAGGCUCUUGAACAUAAGGAACAAGAGAGGAUAUUAAGAGAGGAAGAAUGGAGGAAACAGGAGGCGGCUAGGUUAGAUAGAGAGCAUAAGUUUUGGGCCACUCAGCGAGCAUGGAUUGAAGCUCGUGACGCUGCUCUGAUGGACACCUUGCAAAAAUUAACUGGUAGAGAGCUAAAGGUUCCAUCUCCAGAGGAGCUAAUGGCAACCCAACACCGAAAUCCUGGGGAAAGGCAGAAUGAGAAUGGAAGUGAAACAGUGAGCAACUCCGUGAAGGGUGACAGCUGGCCAGAAUCUGAGAUUACAAGGCUAAUGCAACUGAGAACCAACAUGGAAUCAAGGUUUCAGCAAGCUGGGUCUUCAGAAGAGGUUCUCUGGGAGGAUAUUGCAGGCAAGAUGGCUUGCUUGGGGUAUGAUCGGAGUGCCAUAAUGUGCAAAGACAAAUGGAAUAGCAUCAAUAAUUAUCUUCUGAGAACCAAGGAGUGUAACAAGAAACGCAAGGAAAAUUCUAGAAGUUGCACUUACUUUCUGAGCAAUGAAACAUUAUACAAUCAAGGAGGAGCCUACUGUGAAAUCAGUGAGCCAGGCCCGGAGAUGGCCAGACUUCAACCUAAUGAGGGCUCCCCGCCUUCUAAUUCUAAUGCUGGCAGUGCAGUGCCUGAUAGCUGCUUUCGCUUCCUGAUGGCGGAUGGGAAUCUAUGGGAGAAUUAUGCCUUGAAGCUCAACAAGGGAGACAACCAGUGAGUUAAAAACAAAUGACAAUUUCUGAUCAGGAGGUAUGUAAAGUGAGGGACAAGGUGGCUGACUUGUUGAGAGGCAAGGGAUUUGAUAAUGCUUCUCUUUAGAUGUGGGACAUACUAUGUCUAAGCAAGUAGCUGACUGAGAAUUUAUAUAUAGAGAUUUGAUGUUUAAUGGGGUCUUAGGGGAUGAACAUUUCAGGAGGAAAAAUAAUGGAUUUUUUCUCAUGAGUUUAAUAGGGAGAGGAGUCUCAAUAUUGAUCUUCAUUAUGGGGUUUUCUGAAACUUUCUUUUUAUGCCAAAAUUUUCCUUUGUACAUGCAACUGGUUUUAUCUGUUUUUCUUCUUUUUUUUUCCCUCAUUUUUAUCUUCUCUAAUUAUCUGGGAAAUACUAGGAUUAUUAACUUGUCUUUUUUUUUUGACUUUUAACUUACUGAAUUACAGGUUAGCAACAUGUUCAUGUGUGAGUAUAUGUUUUAGAUCUUUCUUAUUUUAAAUGAAUUUGUAGUUGAUUAUGAGCAAGAUUCGCUCUUUAAACUUAUUGUUCCAGGACUCCCUAAUUGCCCCUUCUAUAUUAAUUAAACUCUGUCACUCUACUCUACUAGACUGCAUGUUUUUGUUUUUAAGCAUCAUGCUAAAAAUACAUUUACUUUGGGGCUCUUUAGGUAAGUUUUCUCUAUUUCCCAGUUGAAAAAGGACACAUUGCAGCUGAAAUUGGGCAGUAAAAUUGAUUUGGAAAUUGAAGAUCACAGUUUGGCUUCUCUGAUGGGACUAACGUUUUAGGCAGUGCAAUCAACGAGAAUUUUCAGGCAUUAACAAAACAAGAAUGCCGGUCAAAUAAGUACCAAUUCCUUUAUUUGAAUUGAUGGUAGGGACUGGGUAGCUCUUGAAUUGACCAUUAUGAAUGAGAAAAUUAAAUUUAGGUAAAGAAACAACCAUGCUAAGCUCCCAUGCAAAACUACAAGCCAACUUAUAUGUUCAGCGAUGUUGAAUUGUGAUGCAGCAGGAGGACUUAUACUGAUCACCUUUACCCUUUCUUUCAUGCCAUUAAACAAUGGUUUUGUUGCUAAUAUCAUAAGAAACAAGAGAACCUAGUUGUCACUCACCAACAGAAGAGAAACCAAGAAAAGAAAUAUAGAAACACUACUUUUAUGAGCCCUAAACCUUUCUUUUCCCUUUCGGUCCUAAUCCUUUGAAACCCAUCCUCAAACUAGCUAGAAUAGUAUUGAUGAAUGUCCUAAAACUAAAAGAGAAAGCACAUAUGUAUAUUCCUGAUCACUUACUGCAGAAAUAUGACGCUUAACACAACAUUUGCAUCCCCACUGAUCAAAUGGAAAUCUCUUAAGCCAAUGAAGCCUCCCCUUCAGGAAGAUGAAAUCACAGUAGUCUACACCGAAUGGUAUGCUUGUGACCGACAGAACAUACAAAUAAAUAAUGGUAGCUUGCAUUAGGCGAUUAAUCUAUGGACAGAUAUAGAAAUGGCAUCCUUCAUUUUCUACACGCUUGUCAUGUUCAUUGAGGUGUCUGUCUAAUUUCAGAUGUCAUUGAACUUCAACACAUGUUAAUCAAACUUCAAUAUUUAUUAGGUUAAUCAACCCUGAAUAAAUGCCAUUAUGUUCAAAAUUCAAAUUUUCAAGAUGGGAUUUACAGAUACUAAUAAGCGGGGACAUCCACAAAGCAUGUGUGCAUUAUGGUGAUAUUUUCAAGGUUGCAUUUGGUGGUAGAGGUAUAAGGUACGUAGUGGUGUUGGUAUGGCAGCCUGAUGAUCAUGGUGAUGGUACCCAAAUUUAGUACCCCAUAGGCAAGAACAGAAGACUACGGUCUGGCAAAGCUUUAAUAAAAAAAAUAAAAAAUAAAAAGAAAGUGAAAUAGAAGUAUUUUAAAACAAUGUCAAGAUGAGGGUCGUGAUGGUCCAAUGAUAGUUUGGAAGUGUGACGGGUCAUGGAAAACUAAGAUGUAACCCUAGCCUGUAAGGUCACUUUUUCUUUGGCAAAUAAAUAUUUGAAAUGAAAACUUUUAAAUCAAGACUCAAACCUGUCAUAGACAUUUCAUCAAUAAAAAGGCAAAUAUAUUUUAAAUGCUAGUCUUCUUAAACACAAUUUUUACCAACUAUUUUUUUUCCUUAUAGAUAUAGAGAGAGAUGAAGGUGAAGGUUGUAAGGCUUGGCUUCAAAUAAUAGAAUAGAAUAAAGGAAUGGGUGGGGAGAGGGGGCGUUUGAGGACUUAUUACAUGAUGAACCAGGGGCAGGGGUGAUUUAACUUGUGGACAGGAACUGCCGUACUUGGGAAAGAGUUAAGAAGCUUCCCCCAAGAAGAGCCAAACAAAGGGGAGACAUUACAGUCAUUAUCACAGUGAAGUAGCAGAGAGCUUUCCUUCUUUCAUCAGCUUUUCUUUUAUUUCUUUCCAUCUCUCUCUUUUCCUCUUUCCUGAACCCUGAACUCAGCUUGCUUGCUUGUCCCGAAGCCUAUGGACAUUAGCAGUUAAAAGGAAAUCCAUUUGCGUUUCAAUUAUUGAAAAUAUAAAUGAUAUAAUGUAAGUAUUGUUAUACAGCUUUCUAGUCUUUAUUUUACUUUGCUGGUGCAAUUGAUUUGACUAGCUACUCCUCCAGCCAUCUUCUGACAUCCCCCUUCCUCAUCUUUCUUCCUUUAUUCAUAUCCCAAAUUUGGAAUUCUCCUGAUUUCAAUAUUUUUGCCCACAAAUAGCAACCCCUUUCAUUUCUAAUAUUUUACUUCCCCUUUUUCUCUUUACUAAAAUAGUAAAUUUUUAUUGGGCUCUAUCUUUUAAGCCUAAAGUUCCUUGUUCUAUACUAUUUUUUACUCUUUUCUAACUUGAUAGCCUAAUAUACAAGAUUAGCACAAUUUCUUAUUUAAUUAAAUUUUUCCCUUGAAACAGACAGGGGCACCAUGCUAUUCAUUUACCCAAUGAACAAAAUAAUGAGGGAACAACAGAAUUCCCAGUAUUUCACAAAUUCAUCAUCCAAAUUUUAUGUACAAGCCCAUGUGAUAUAGUAAGAGUAUAUAUAUUCCUUUAAUGUUUUAAGAGAAAAAAACAGGCCCAAGGGCCCAACUUUGCCUUAGGCCCAGUGAAAUUCAGCUAUGUAGGCAAAAGGCCAUAGCUAUCGGCUUAUGAACACAAAAACAAAUGAAAGGCCACCACGAAAUACGGAGCCCAUCUACAGACCCUACACAUGGGUUUUGAGGUUUCCAACCUGCUAAAAAAGAUCAAAAUAUAAUUUACAUCCUUCUUUCCCCCUCUUCUUUAGGUGCCAACUUCUUGUUUAGAGAAGAUAAACAAUGGAAACUGGGCGAGGAAAAUCAGAUGGACGAGGGAGCUGAGGAAACCGCAAGGCCUAAAUUAAGAUUUUUGGCCAGUAGGCUUCAUUGGCUAGUCCCCACUAUUUAAACGUUAACAGAUGAUAAAAUCCAGAACACAUUUACAUCCACGCCCUACUGACUAAGAUCAGAAAUUCAAGAAAAACACACAAGUGGCUCUCUGAGACUUACCCCAUAGCUGCUUCUACCGGCACUGCCCUGGGAGUGGAGGUAGAAGAGAAAAUCAAGGGAUUUGUUUUGUCCCAAAAAUAACAAAUAAACUAUUGUGUGAAAACCUAAAAUUAAUACUCGCAAAAGCGAGGCAGAAUAUUAUAGUGUCUCACCAUUGUUUUAUCAGCUGCAGGCCUGCACCUAAGCAACCAUCCAAACGAAAGUUGGGAAAGAAAAGGGGGUGUGUAACACGUGCGAGGGUUGGCUUUCUGGUCGUGAGUCAUGACGGGCUGAAAUUAGGAAGUGGCGUGAAUCCUAAUCACUUUAUAUUGAUGCUUCUUUUCCAAGUUUUUUUAUUAUCAAACCACCCACCAUAACCCCCUCCAUUUUCCUAAAAUUAAAGGUUAUUCUAUGCUAUGUCCUACUAGUUAUGACCAUUCCGAAACGCCCAUGUCACCAAAAUGGUUCGACUCCUGUCUCAUUAACAUUUUUUAAAAUUUUUUUUACUUCAGUCUCUCACACAAUACUUCUACCCUAUUCUUGUUUUGGGGCUGGUUCAAAAAACCAUCUUGUUCUCUAGUGCAGCUUAAACAAUAUUCGGGAAGAUCAAAAUCUCAUGUCACAGAAAUUAUGGUUGAUAACAGUCUAGAGGUUAAUAUUCAAAGCUUCAUAUCCUCCUCAUUAUACGAUUCCAAAUUCUAUAGCUUUCAAAGCGAAUAUUAGAAGGCUAUGAAUUAGGGUAAUUAUGUUCAUAUUUCAUUACGAGGGUCACACAAUUGGACCCCGAUAAGAAGCUUUCAAAGUGAAUAUUAGCAGGCUAUGAAUAAGGGUCACACAAAUGGACCACGAUGAGGAGGAAAAAGCAAAGUGCAUUCUAACCACGGCAGUGAUUGUUCCAAAUGACAAUACUUUAUAUAUUAAAGGUGGAAAAACACAUUAACAGAGUUUUAAUUGAAAAGCGUUCAAACUCAACAAGGCAACAUCGCUCCUCAAGCUGAUUAUUCUACCCCCAUUCAACUACAAGCAUAAAAAGAUCCGGAAGACAACGAAAAACACCCUAAACCUAUGAUGCCUGAGAUGAGACCUUUAAUGUCCCCCAUACCUGCACUGCAUAUACUCUCCAGAGAAAAACAGAAAAGCAAACCGAACCCAAAACUUCAUCAGUACUUGUAGUCCUUGACAUGGAGGCUUUCCGCGGCACCCUCUCCAAGUUUGGCAUCACCCUUGUAGGUUCCAAGAGUGGCCUCAGAGUUUGCCUUGCACCUUACCAGGAAUGCUCCCCUGGCCUUCACAACAUUUUCCUCCUUUCCUGACCAGGCCUUGAGAGUGCUCUGCUGAAGUGCACGUCCAAAGGAGAAGGACAGGUUCCAUGGCUUCUUCCCCUUGAGCUUGUUCAUGGCAUUGAGGUUGAGAGUGGCCUCCUCCUCACUCUGCCCCCCAGACAAAAACACAAUAGCAGGAACAGCUGCAGGCACAGUUCGCUGGAGGGUCCGAACAGUGUACUCGGCCACCACCUCUGGGGAAACCUUCUUGGCUUCUGAUCCAGGAGUCACCAUGUUAGGCUUCAACAGAGUUCCCUCAAGCAGAACGUGAUGGUCAUUCAGUGCUUUGUAGCAUGCUGCCAGAACACGUUCAGUUACAUAAGCACACUUUUCAAUAUCAUGAGGGCCAUCCACCAGGAUCUCAGGCUCAACAAUGGGGACAAGGCCAUUCUCCUGGCAGAUCAUUGCAUAUCUUGCCAACCCAUAUGCAUUUUCAUGGAUUGCCAACUCAGAUGGCUCAGUAGGGCCAAUCUUAAGCACAGCACGCCAUUUAGCAAACCGGGCACCAGCUGCAUAGUAUUUUGCACAUCGUUCACCAAGGCCAUCAAGACCCUGGGUGGUAGUUUCACCAUCAGUGCCAGUAAGCACAACUGUGCCCUUGUCUACUUUGAUUCCGGGAAGAACUCCACCUUCCUUCAUAACAUCCACAAAGGGUUUGCCUGAAAUUUAAAAAAGACAAUUUCAGUACAUCUGGAAUCUUAAGUUCCCAGGUGGGGGGAGAGGACCCACUCAAAUAAUGAAUUUUUUUUCUUCAAUUAUUUAGAGAAACAUAAAAAUAUCGCAGGUAUUAUACUCAAUUUCACAAAACUUGUGUGCAUUGGCAAAUAAUUUCAUCAUACUCCAUACAUAACAUAAUAAAAUAACUUAAUGAACAGAACUCACAGAAAUAUCACCCUACAUCUAAAAUCUCAACAGAUAAAAAUACAAUACCAGAGGCAGUCUUCUGAUAGAGAGUCUCCUCAAAGAGGAUCACUCCACUAAGGUACUGGAGGGCACCAGGAGUGCAGAAAAGGAGCUCACGGAGAGCACGCCUGUUUCCUUCAACAUUCUCGACAUUGAUGCUAGCUAGCCUCUUGCCAAUUGUGCCAGUUGACUCAUCAGCAGCAAGAAUACCCUUUCCAGGAGUGCCAAUGUAGGCAGCAUUGGCAAUAAGCUCG